This 75224-nucleotide long non-coding RNA is filed under the name Manihot esculenta (cassava). RNAcentral describes it as "long non-coding RNA (MESC_LNC008940)". The record is from RNAcentral. Lineage: Eukaryota; Viridiplantae; Streptophyta; Magnoliopsida; Malpighiales; Euphorbiaceae.
AACCUAUUUAUAUAUGAGAGGCGGUAUUUAAACAAGAAGGAAAAUCAAGUCUAUGAUUAUACAAUCUUAAGAUUAAGCAACUGAUCCAUCUAUCAAUAUUUACUUCCUAUAUUAACAUAUUUACUUUCUAUAACCUAUAAAACUCCCCCUAAAGAUGGAGCAUAAAUGUUAAUCAUGUCCAAUUUGUUACAUAUAUAAUCAAUUUCAGCCAUAAAAACAACCAACCCAAAACAAUAAAAAUAAAUAAAGGAUCCGAUGAACAGUACCCGAUGAACGGUGCCCGACCCGAUGUCUCCAAAUGUUACCCUUUAUGGGUAACCCAAAUGAACAGAACCCUAAAUUUUCAAAUGUUACCCUUUAUAGGUAACCCAAAUGAACAGAACUCUGAGUCUCCAAAUGUUACCCUUUAUGGGUAAUCCCGAUGAACAGAGCUCUGAGUCUCCAAAUGUUACCCUUUAUGGGUAAUCCUGAUGAACAGAGUCCUAAGUCUCCAAAUAUUACCCUUUAUGGGUAAUCCAAAUGAACAGAGCCGUAAGUCUCCAAAUGUUACCUUUAUGAAUAACCCAAAUGAACAGAGUCCUAAGUCUCCAAAUAUUAUCUUUUAUGGGUAACCGCUCUAGGAAAUAAGACACAUUUUAUCUGUCUCAGCGUCUACUGAAGACGUUGGGAUAAUUUUAAUAAUAUGGGUCUGACUGUCAAAAACCAUUUCAACCAAAAUUCUAUACUCCUUUACCUUUAAACGAAUUAAAGGAAGAUAACAAAAUCUAACCUAGUGAACAAUAUUAAAAAAACGCCUCCAUCCAACAUCCAAAUGGCAAACGAACCACAGAUCUGAUAAGCGGGUUGUAAGAUAAUUUCGGCGUCCUCUCUAAGUGGACGAUGAGAGACAAAUAUUACCCUAGAUGGGUAACACAAAAGAACAGGAGCCCUAAGUUUUCAAAAAUUUUAAAACUUGACGAGAAAAAAAAAUUAAAUCUCUACGAGAACGGCUCUGAUACCAUGUAGAAAGAUAAUACUUGUUGUUGUCUUUCACAACAGAGAUAAAAUUUAUGGAAUACAAGUUUUACAAAUAAGUGAAGAAUAGCUAUUACAUGCCAUAAAAUAGUUAUUCUGUUCCAUUCAAUGAACCAAUUGAAGUAUCAUUAAUGGAAGUCUAGCUGGAAUCAAAUUAGGAUCAACUUAAGGAAGUCUAAUCAAGAUAACUUGCGCUUAAAAGUACCUAGCUCUUAUCGAUUCAACACAUUUUUUAUCACAGUAAAAGCUGUACACCAUCUUACUUGCCAAAAGUUACAUUAUCAAUUGAUUCCUAACAACAAUGCAUUUCUCUUCCCUCUUGAAAGUUUAGCACACUAGAUACAAUCUCUAUAGUUUGUACCAUAUGAAAAUUGGAUCUAACAUCUUUUGGUUACCUUUAAUUCAUUCAAUUUUCGAAAACAUUGAAUCUUCUAUGGCUGAGGACGAUCCUUAGUUUUCAACUGUGACUUCACCUGCUGCUGGCACAUGUAUAAAAAUAUAUGCAUCAAAAACAAGAAGACAAACUUUUCCUUGUGAAGAGCAUUUAGUGUGAUGCUUACAUCUAACCAGUUAUCUUCUAUAACCUUUACCAUUAUGACAAAGUUGGGGCUGGGAGUUCAACGCAAAAUUGCUGAUGAUAAAAUAAGGUGGUCAGGUCAAGGAUUGGCUUUUGUCUGGGUGCUAUUGAGUAGUAAUGCGAGAUUAUGGUUAAUUGGAAUAAAUGGGUAUGGAUCCUCAUAUUAUUUUGAAUGGGGAUGGAAGAAACCCAAUCAUAAAGACCUAAAAUUUAUCCGUUUGGUUUACCAUUUAUUGCUGCACUUAUCCUAUUGCCGCUCUGGAAAAGCUUUUAUUUUUAUGCUAUUGUACUAGCCAAAUUGCUUGUCUCUGGUUUGUCCUGGAAAGAUUUGACUUUGUUCUAAUUGCCGUGGUCUUCCACAGCUGAUUAAGUUAUUUCUGUGCUGGACAAAAAUCAUAAUGCAGGAGAAAGGCAGACAGAAGGGUCCAGCUCAUAUUGAUGCUACUUCAUCUGAAAAUUAUUCUGUAGAAGGUCAUUAUGCCUCACAAUCAAUGGCUCCAGUGACUGGUUCAUCAUCUUCCCCUUCUGGGGGUCUUGCUUGUGCAAUAGCGGCCCUUGCUGAACGUCAGCAGAUGGGUGGGCAAUCUUUUCUUCAUAAUAAUAGAAACUUUUCUACGUGCAACAUGCUUCCAGGCAGCAGCAGCAGCUGUAGUCUUUACAGCAGGCCAGAUCAGAUUGCAGAGAAUUACUCCUCUGCACCGAGCUCCAGCAAUAUGUCACCGGAUUGCAGAAUGGACACGUCAAGGGAUGAUGGAGAAUGGGGUGCAGACCGAGGAUCAGAUGCUGCUGAAGCUGGGACUAGUUAUGCAAGCUCUGAUACUGCAGAAGAUGCUGGUGGAAUUUCUGUUUUAUUACCGCCGCCACCACCACCAGCAGAUGAAAAUGGGGUGCUAUUUCAGAAUAACUCUGGACCAAUUGUUCCUGAGAGUUUUGAAGAGCAGAUGAUGCUGGCCAUGGCUGUUUCUCUUGCUGAGGCUCAAGCUGUGACAAGUGGACUGGGAAAUGCGUGGCAAUAGUUUUCAAGGGUAGGUUACAGUUCCAAAAAAAUGAUGCCAGUUAUGGCUUUUCAGCUAGCUGAGUAUUGAGCUAGGACGAGCGCAAACUGUGCUGUUUGCACCUGACUAAGAGGUCAAGGUAGCGAUGAUUCUCUUCUUCUCUGCACGCUCUCUAUAUAUAUACUUGUUAAAAGGAAAAUGGAUUGUCUUAGUGCAUGAAACUUUGUUUGGGUAUGAAAUUCAUAAUGACUCUAGUUCUUUCUUUUCAUGGUUUAUAUAUUGUUUUUUAUUUUUAAGAAUGUUCAGAAAUCUUAAGAUAGCAAAACCAAUUUAUGAUGCUUUUAUAUUGUAAUAUGGGGCAUUUAUGCAGUGUAGUAGGCUGAAUUAGUAUGAAGUGAAGCAUCAUAUUAAGUAGUUUGAGAUAAAGGCUUAAUCAUUGUUGUUGUGGUUUAGUGGAACCUUCCACACCCAGUGAAUAGCAUAGCAUUAGUUGAGGUAAUUAAGAUGGUAAACAAAAAUGGGUUUCUGUUGUGUCUUCAUCUUUUAUCUAUAUCUGUUGCAUGCCUGGAAAUGUGACAUCGAGUCGUUGGCUCUUUUAUAUUCAACUGCAGCUAAUGACCAAUAAUGGUUGGGUAGCUGUGUUUAUUGGUUACAAGUAUAACCACAUUUUAUGCAAGUUUUAUAUGACAUAUAUGUGGAAUUUGACAGGGGUCAAUUCCGACUUCCGUUCCUCCAUCUUCUACCCAACUUUAAAAUAUAUAUAUACAUCGGUCAACCCCAUAUCUGAUUGACGGCCUUCGAGGUUCCAUUAUUAAAACAAGAAAAACAUGCAUUUUUUUCCCAAAAAAAAAAAGAAAGAACACUCUACUAAUUUCUAAAUGUAGCGAGAAUUUCACAAAAUCAUAAAUAAAAGUGAAAUUAAAUUUUUUUAUUAAAUAAAAAGUAAAAUUUUUAGUGUAGGUUAAUGUUGAUUCGUGAUAUUAUUUAUGUUUUAAUGAAAAAUAAUUUAAAUUAAUAAUGGUAAAAAAGGAUCCCAAUGAUUUAUUUAAUCUACAUAUUCAUAGUCCAUUGCAUUUUUUUUAAUCCUCAAUCUGAAAUUAAGAAUUUUAUAAAAAUUUAAUUUAAUUAAUUUUUAUUUUAAUAAAAAAUAUUUAUUUUUUAAAUUUUAUUAAGAUUUUUAUAUAUAAAUAUAUUUAAUUUUUAAAUUCAAAUUAAAUAAUAAAAAUAAAUUAUUUUACGAGAACAAACAAAAAAAUUUAACAUGCAUAAACGAAUUAAAAGGCUCAGUGGACUAAGAAAGAAACCUAACAGAGAAGUCAGCCCAAUCCGAACGGUCCAACCAAAAGUUGUUCAAAACACAUCCACCGCUAAUGUCUUAGUCACAACCGAAAAAAGGAGGAAAAGAAGAGGAAAGGAAGAGACCUAACGGAAAUAAAGUGAGAAAAAGCUUGAUGCAUGUUUAGAAAAGAAGAAAGGGUAUACAAUCACAAGGACAAAAUGAAGUUAAGAAGACCAAAAAUAUGCUACAAACAACCAAAAUCAGAUUCAAUCAACUGACUAUCAACAAUCCAUAAAUACAGAAGGAAGAAGCUGGAUUCUCCACUAACAGGACGACCACCACAGCAAGAUAGGAGACCUAGCGGUACAAUAUCAAAUUGUCAAACAUCAAGGCACGAGAAUUCUCUCUCAGAGUAGAUUCUGCAUGCCUUGCAAAACAAAACCCAUAAAAUCAUAAAUCAAAACGGUAAAACUAUCACAUAAAAACCAAACAUAAUAACGAAAUCACACAAAACAAAAAAAAUAAAAAUAAAAAUUAUGGAUAGAAAACCCGGAAAUCUCCCCUCUCGCUGGUCACAGAACUCUUGCAACUUUUCAAAUCGUUGGCUCUUUUUGAUAUAUCCCUCUUCUAAAAUAAACGAAAGAUUAUUUUUCGCUUCCACUUAUAAUCAUAUUUCAUAAUUUUUAUUAAAUAGUAAUUUUUUCGGUGUUCAUCAAAAUUUUAAACGUAAAGCUGAUAUUUAUUUAUGUUUGAUUCAUUAUGAAAUACGAAUUAAAUUCUUUUUUAGAUAUUUGUUCCGUAUAUAUAAAUAGACAUAAAAUUAUUUUACUUGAAAUUUUCAUAAUUUUAAAUAAUAUUUUGAUUUAAAAGUAAAAUUAUCCAUUCAAAUAAAAUAAAUUAAUUUUCAGAAUUAAAUAAUAUUUUUAGAGCUAAUAUUAUCAUUUAAAUAAUGCAAACAAUAUAUUUAACAAACAUAAUUAUAUUAUUUAAACCAAAUUAUUUUCUAAUUAUUUUAUAUAUUUACCAUAAAAAAAAUAUUUUAUUUAUUUAAUUGUCUGUGAUGAUGGCUUGUAUCAAUCACUGCUAUGCUAUUUUCAGUCAAUAUAUUUAGUACAUUAAUAAAUUUGUUAUCAUCUCCAAAAAAAAAACAUUAUUUUUUUCAUUAAUUGCAUCAACUUUAUAUUUAAAAAGAUAAAAAUUAUAGAAAUUAUGUAUCUAAAAUAUUUUUAUUUUAUAAACUCAUUAAAUAAUAUUUAUUAAAAAUUCACGAAAUUCAGUAAAAUAUUACAAUGAUUAAUUUUUUUAUAGUUUGAAAAUCUAAAUACAUCAUUUACUUUGAGGAAAUUAAUUGAGUUCUGGGAGAAAUUAUUAAAAUUUAUUAAUAAUUAGUGAAAUCCACAUUGUAUACUCAAUUUUGAAAAACUGAAUAAAUUGUGUUUUAUUUCAAAAAUAAAUUUAAUCAUUUUAUUACAUAUUAAUUUCUUAUUAUUUAAAUUGAAUAACUUUUUGUAAUCAAAUUUUAAACGAUUAACAUUUUGAUGUUAAAAAUUAAUUUUAUUUAAAAAUUUAAGAAUUAAAAUGUUAUUUAAAGUAAAAAUAUUAUAGAUUGAGUAUAUAAUGUUUUAAUUAUAGAAGUCUUAUAAAAAUAAAAAAUCAUAUUGUAAAUGUUUAAAAUAAAAAUAAGGUCCUUAAAUUUUCAAAAUUUUAGAAGGGUUAUUUUGUUAUUUUUAAAGAGAUCCUAAAUUGUUUCAAAAUUUCAAAAAAGGUCCUACUUUUUCGAGUUUCACGCUAUUGCCCCUGAUUUCUUAACCAUGAGUAGGAAUGUAAAUUGGUAACAUUCCCUUCAAAAUUAAAUUACUCAGAAUUUAUAUUAGUAAUAUUUAAAUAUGUUGUAAACUCAAUUAAAAAUUAAUAUUUUAAUUAAUAAUUUAUAUAAAAAAUACUUUUUAUUAAAAAAUUAAUAUUCUUAAAAAAUAUUUAAAUUUUAUUUUUUAAAUAACGACGACAUUUACCGAGUCAACUAAAUUAUUAUAUUUUACUAUAGCUUUUUUCAUAAAUAUAAUUAUUUAAAAUUAUAAAAUAAAUUAAAAAAUACAAAUUAAUUUUAAAAUUAAUAAAUAUAUUUUUUUAAAAAUUACUAUGAAAUUUCUAAAUUUUAACAAAAUUAAUUAUUUAGUUUUUAUAAUUAUUAAUUUCAAUUAAAAUAUCCCUUAUUUUUAAAAUAUAGCAAUUAAAUUUUUUUAUUAAAUAUUUUGUUAGUCUAUUAGUAAAAUCCUUAGUCAAAAGAGAGAAUAUUAGGAAAUGAUAAAAUUACCCUCGGUGAAAUUCAUUUAGCCUUUCCUCUUUUUUCAUUCCAUUUCUCUCUCUCUUCAAGCUCACCCAUCUAUAUCGCCUGGCCUGGCCCUGUCCUGUCCCGUUCCUCGCCGAGUUCUCCACCUCUCUAUUUGGUACAGCCGCGCGUGUUCCUCCUCUCUCUUCCUACCGAUUGGCCCUCUGCUAUUCACGGUGUCCACAUCAUUGCUGCGUCCACCGGUCCUUUUUGCUCUUCUCUGCCAUUUCCUUUAGUCCUCAUCGCUAGUAUUGCCAUGCUUUCUCUUGUCCUCGUUGCUGGUACUGCAAAUUAGUCGGCAAUCUCCCUCAUUUUUCACUCUCGGUCAAUAAAUCGUUUCCUUCCCAUCUCACUCUCAGUCAGUAAAUCGUCUCCCUCCCUUCUGAUUCUUAAUCGGCAAUUGCUGUUUUUGUUGAUCGAUGAUGUGUGAGUUUCUAAAUGCAAUGAGUGAUUUUUUUUUUAUUUUAGAUUAUUUUUGUGUAUUUGAAUUGAAAAAUAAAUAUGAGCAAAUAAAUUUUUUUAAUUUUAUACUGUAUUGAUGGAUUGUAUUUUAUAAAUUAAAAUUUUAUUAAUUCUUUGUAAGUUUUAUUAAUUUUAAAAAUUUUUUAUUAAAUGAAAUAUUGUGUUUAACUGUUUAUAAAACUUGAAAGAAUGAUUAUUAGAUGAUAAAAUAAAAAUUUAUAAAAGAGAAAAUAGAAAUAAAAUAAGACUAAAAUUAAUAGAGAAUUACACGUGUUUUGAUACUGAAUUAAAUUAGAGGAGAAGAGUCAUUUUAAAUAUUUUAUUAAAAAAUUAACGAAAACGCAUAGUAAUUUUUAAUAGAGAAAUCCAAUAAUUAUAUUUUAAAUUAUAAUAACAUUUUAAUUAAAAUUUAUAAUUAUAAAAAUUAAAUAAUUAAUAUUAUUAAAAUUUAAGGACGACAGUCAUUUUCUCCUGUCUUUUUAACGUACUAAACGGGCAUGGUGAGAAACUGAGAAUUGAUAUAUCAAUCAUUUUCUUUUCUAAAUGGUCCGUUUAAAAUUUCCACGAGCUUGUCAAAGGCCUUGCUGGCAACAUGGGCACCCUACGUUAUGGAGAUAUUUCAAUGAAAGAUACAACUGAAUGAAUUUUGCCUAUAAAUGUUUUACAUAUAAUUUUAAUUUUAAUAAAUUCAAAUAAAGUUAUUUUUCUUUUUAUUUAUCAUAUUAUUGAUUUUUCAUUUCUAAAUAAUUUAUGAAUUUGCUUUUAAUAAUAAAUAUAAUUUACUCAGUUUAUUAAUGAAUAAAUGAAUAAAAUUUAUAUUUCAAAAAAGUAUAUAUUAAUAUUUAUUUAUACUCAAAGUUAAUAUUAAACCAAUCUCACAGAUUUAAGAAUUAAUUUUUCAACUUAUCAAAAAAAAAAAAAAACACAUUAUUGAAAGUAUUGGUCCAAAUUCUGAAAGCAACAGGAAUGGAAUAUUCCAGAAAUGUGAACCCAGAAUAAAGCAAAAAAUUGAGAAGAUUUAUUUUAUUACUCCAUCUAAUAAAAAAAUAUUUAUAAUUCAUUUUAUUUAAUAUAAUUAAAACAAUAAAUCUCUUUACUAAUAUUAUUUUACAUUUUAUCACUAAAAUAUUUUUUAAAAUUAAUAAAUUUUAUAUAAUUCAUUUAAAAUAAAUAAAAAAAUAUUUUGUUGGAAAUGAGAUUACUGGAUUUUUGUUUAUUUGUUUUCGACUGUAAUUCACUCAAAUUGUAUAUAUAAUCAUUUAAGAAAAAUGAAAAAUAAAAAUCGGCUAUAUAAAUACAAACCCACCGCAUCCAUUCGCGUUGCAUCUGAAUUCACGAUACGCCGACACAAGCAGAGUCCAGUCUCAGUGAUAGUGUAGCUAAGACGAGCAGAAAUGGCUGAUGAAUUGAUUCUCUUGGAUUUCUGGCCAAGUCCUUUUGGGAUGAGAGUCAGAAUAGCAUUGGCUGAGAAGGGUGUCAAAUAUGAGUACAGAGACGAGGACUUGAGGAACAAGAGCCCUCUUCUUUUGCAGAUGAACCCAAUCCACAAGAAGAUUCCUGUUCUCAUCCACAAAGGAAAAUCCAUCUGUGAGUCCCUUAUUGCUGUCCAGUAUGUUGAUGAAGCGUGGCACGAUAAGUCUCCUCUCUUGCCCUCCGAUCCUUACCAGAGAGCCCAGGCUAGGUUCUGGGCUGAUUUUGUCGACAAGAAGGUAUAUAUAUUUAUGAAUUUGCUUUCUUUUGCCCUAAAAGAGGGAUGAAAUUUUCUUUUCGUGGAAAUGUUUUGCAGUUAAUAACAAAAAUUUUCUGCUAAGCAUUUUUGUGGGCCUGUAGAAUCAAUCAGCAAAACUUGUUUUUUUGCUAUAAUAUGUAUGGAUCUGUUUUGUUUGGGAAAUUGGAGUUAUCACUCUUCAUGUUUGCACCAUUUUUGUCUGUGUUUUGUUUGGUUGAGGAUGGGAAUUAUGCACUUUUGUUGAGAAGACGUAAAAGUUAGAGUUGAAUUAUGUAUUUAGGUAUUAAAGAUAUAUGAUUGUCUAGUGAGAAAAUAGUGUUAGUUACCAUAUGUAAAGGGUUUGUUGAUCAUUGUAAAAUGUAAUUCAUGAGCUAUUUAGCUAAUCCACUGAUGAUAUGCAAUGCAGAUAUAUGAUAUUGGGAGGAAGGUAUGGACUACAAAAGGAGAAGAGCAGGAGGCAGCCAAGAAAGAAUUCAUCGAGGCCCUUAAGUUGUUGGAAGGUGAGCUUGGAAACAAGCCUUAUUUUGGUGGGGAAAACAUUGGAUAUGUGGAUGUUGCAUUGGUACCAUUUUAUUCUUGGUUUUAUGCCUAUGAAACCUUUGGAAACUUCAGCAUAGAGGCUGAAUGUCCUGUGCUGAUAGCUUGGGCUAAGAGGUGCCUGCAGAAAGAGUCUAUAUCUAAGGCCCUUCCUGACCCAAAAAUGGUCUAUGACUUUAUCCUGAUGCUGAAACAGAAAUUAGGCAUAUAGUUUCCAGUUUCUAUGUUGAGUGUGCUUUGUUUAUUUAAAUAAUUGGCAAAGUGUAGCUUAGCUGUGCCUUUGCUUGGUGUUUAGGGUGAAAGGAAUCAUGCUUGUCCGGUUAAGAGGGUCACUUAGUUGUGCCUUGUAUUCUGCAAGUUUCUUUAUUUCCAUAUAAGGUAUUGUGGGGAAUUUGCAUUUUCUUGCUCCUCCUCUUCUCAGCAAAUUGUGGUGUUUUUCUUUAGCACAAAAAUAUGGGAUAUUUGAAAAAGAUUCAUGAUAGCAUGUGAGCCUAUUAUAUUCAUCAGAAAGUUAAUGAAAUUAAAAAUUGUACAAAUUGAAAAGUCUGCCUUGUGUUAGGUUCUUAUGACAGUUGAGAUUAAACCUAUUAUAAUAAAAAAAAUUUACCAUACAAAAAUUUAAUAUUCAAUAGUUAGUUUGUGGAUUUUGAAAAAUACAUCAACCACUUUAAAAGUGUGGAAUACAUUAGACCGACUUGAAUUUAUGGUAUAUCGUUUUAAAAUUAUUUAAUUUAUAAAAAUAUAAUAAAGGUUAAAUUAUUAGAAUAAUAUUAAAAUAUCAGUUUCUUAUUAUUUUUAUAUUUAAAUUAUUAUAAUUAGUUUUAUAUUAUAAUUUAAAUUCAUAAUAUAUAUAAAUAAAUAAAUAAAAUGUACAAAUAUUAUAACGAAUUAAAAAAUGUACAACGCAGUUAAAUCAUCAAUAUUUUUAAAAAAUUUAUAAUUAAUUAUGUAUUUAAUUUUAGUUAUUAAAUAUUUUAUUAUUUAGUAAAAAAUUAUAAAUUUAUUUUUUAAGUAUUAAAUAUUUUAAUAUUUAAUAUUUGUAAUAAGGGAAAAUUUAUUAAUUUUAUAAAAAUAUUUAUUAAUUAAAAUUUCGUAAUAAAAAAAUUUUAUAUUUUUUAUAAUAUUUUAAAAUUUUAAUAAUAUUUUAAUAUAUUUUUAAAAUUAAAGAAUGAAUUAAUAAUUUUUUUAUAAUAAAAGACUAAAUAAUAAUUUCAAGAUAAUAAAAAUUUAUUUGGCUAGCCUAUAGCAUAAGAAAUGGCAACCAGAUGAAUUUGAGGCGAGGAUCACUCGUCUAUCCCUAACCAAAUGAGAUUGUGGUCAAACGGAGAGUUACUCUCUGACAAGAUAUGGAUUUCUCUAAAAAGUUUUUUUUUUUUUCAAAAAGAAUAAAUAUAUAAUUUUUAAAUGUAAAGUUAUCUAUAAAAAGCUUAUUAAGGUAUAAAAAUAAGUUUAAAUAAAAUUAUAAUAUUUGAAAAAAACAAAUUAUGACAUAGACAUGGGCUGGGAAUUGAGGCCCCACCACACGACUCAAAAUCGAAUCGGUGCAGAAUUGAGAAAAAGGAACCGAGUUCGGAUGGGACCAGACGAGUCAUCUCUAUGGAAUGAUCUGAAUCAUGAUAAUCGGAUCAAUGGAUUUUGGGUUUGAUCAGUAUCUUUAAGUCACCAUCAAAUAAAUUUCAUUUUAAAAAAUAAAUAAAAUUUAAAUAAAUGAAUAUUAUAAAAAAAAUUAAAUAAAAUCUAAUAUCAUGUGUGUUGAGCGAAUGAGUACAAACAAAAUUUUCUUACUGCGAACCAACAUGAUACGAUUGUUUCAUAUGAAUUAUCUUAGAUUUAUGCACAAAAAUUAAAGGCAAAACUGAUAGAAAAUGAUUUAGGACGAGCUGUUGGGUCUCUCAUGCACUUAGAUAUGUGUGACCUUGCCUUGACAAGUAAUGGCAGUGAAUGCUUCUCAUCUACCCCACCUACUCCAUUAAUAACCUCUCUCUCCUCGUUAUCUUCUUUACUUAGCUGCCCUCUACUCAUCUGCAUCACUUUUCCCAGAGAACAUACUAGAGACAUGGAUAAAGGCGACAAACUAGGAGUUGGAGACAGCAACUCGCCCAUGGGGAUGAUAGGUUCCACCACAGAUGACCGUGAGGAACCAACAAGUCCCUUGCGCACGGUUGAGACUAUUCUCCGUCUCGUUCCAAUGGCUCUCUGUAUCUCAGCUCUCGUCCUCAUGCUCAAGAAUUCUCAGACCAACGACUACGGCUCUCUCUCUUACUCUGAUCUCGGCGCUUUCAGGUUUUUCAUCACCACCUCUCUCUCUCAUGGGUGAAUAUUGAAUAAUCCAAUAAUUAAUGCAGGUAUUUGGUGCAUGCCAAUGGCGUCUGUGCUGGUUAUUCCCUUCUGUCGGCUGUCAUCGUAGCCAUGCCUCGACCAUCCACCAUGUCCAAAGCCUGGACCUUCUUCUUCCUCGAUCAGGUUAUAGCUACUUCUAUAUCAGAAGCUUUGCUUAAAACCCUUUACGUAAUAUAAAUAUUUAAUUGAAUUUGCAUGUGUAGGUGUUAACGUACAUAAUUCUGGCGGCGGCGGCGGUAUCGGUGGAGGUGAUUUACCUGGCGAGGAAGGGAGACACGGCCAUCACUUGGAGUGCAGCUUGUGUAUCGUUUGGAGGAUUCUGUCACAAAGCCACAACUUCUACAGUGAUUACAUUUGUUGUAGUAGCUUUCUAUAUACUGCUUUCACUCGUCUCCUCCUACAAACUUUUCAGUAAGUUUAGUGCACCAGCUGUGAGCUUCUCCGGCAAAGGCAUCGAGAUCUCCGGCUUCCAAGGCUAAUUAUAUAUGUUCAACCUUGUAACUUGUUCAAUUUCACCUCCGGCCACCACCAGCUGUGUGGCUGGAUCUACAUAUGGUCAAUAAUAAUUGUUGUUUUGCUUUUAUGUGGUCUUUGGAGUUUCUUGUGCUUAUACGUAUAUGGACUUUGCAAUUAAUCUGCCAAAUAAGAAGCUUCAAAUAUGUAAAUUACAGUCUUUUUUUUGAAUUAUCAAUUAAAGAAGAGAAUUGGAAUGGAGAAAAACUGAAUUUCUGUAAUUUUGUUUAUUUGCACAGUAAAUAUAUGUGGGAACAAAAGGAAUAGUUGAGAAGAGAGAAUAUAAGAAGAGAUUUUAUUUUUGGAAUUUCAAAAUACAGAAAAUCGAGUAAUUUUAUUAUAGAAAUUUUAUAGUUUUCAUUAUAAUAAGGUAUUUAAAUAAUAGAAAAUUUUUAAUUUUAAUUUUAAUUUUUUUAAUUUCUCAUAAUGUCCUAAUUAUACUGUUAUUGUCCUAGCAAAGAGUAAUAAAAUUACAAUAUAUCUAACUCAAUUAAUUAAAUGGUUGGCAAUAACUAAUUUUUAACCAACUUUCCUGGCUUUUCUCUCGUCAUAUCUAUAGAAGUCUGUUUAGAGAAUUGAGAAGUUUUUUCUUUCUUUGCUGUAUUGAUAUUGUUUUUAUAAUAGAUUACAAAUUUAUCUUAGUAGUUACCGGUGAUAAUUAUAAAAUUAAUAUUUACAACUUGUAAUCUUUAUCACGUUCUUUCAAUUUAAGUGAAACUCUUUCUUUUGAAUUUUGUCACGAACAAAAUGAAAAUCAACUUUAAAAUGCUUUGUGCGUGCAUAAAAAAUCAGGUUAACCGAUAAAUAUGUAACACCAAUGUUAUCACAUCAUAAAUUAGGUGUAUGUGCAGAAUAGAAACUGAUACAUCAUAAAUUAGGUGUAUGUGCAGAAUAGAAACUGAUAUCACGCAAAAGUGUUUGUACCCAUGUCAAUUCCGUAGUGACAAGUCCAAUGGCUCUAUACUCGCUUCACUGGAUGAACGAGCAACUGUUUAUUGCUUUUUGGAAUUCCACAAAAUAAGAUUUGGAUCCAUAAAGAUCGCAUAGCCAGUAGUGGAUUUUCUGUCAUCAAUAUUGGAUUUUCUGUCAAUCAGCAUCAGUAUAGACAUUUAACUUAGUCCGAUGCAACUUUUGAAUUAAAAGUCCAAAACUCAUUAUGCCCUUCAAGUAUCUCAAUAUUCGCUUUACUGAACUCCAGUUAUCUUUCGUGGGAGCUUGAAGAAAUUGAGAAGCUUUAUGGACAAAAAAAUAAACCUCUGGUCUAGUUAAGCUGAUAUACUGAAAUCCACCAACGAUGCUACGAUAUAACGUAGGAUCAGAAAAUAAGGAGCUUCCAUUAGAUGGCAAUUUUUCUCUCGAAUCGGCUGGCGUAGAGAUUCCUUUGCAUUUGACCAUUCUAGCUUUUUAUAGCAAGUCUAAUAUAUAUUUGUGUUGUGUGAGAAGAAGACCAUCAUCUAGCUAAUUGGCCUCCAUACCAAGAAAAUACUCUAACCUGCCAAGAUCCUUUAGCAUGAAAACCGUUUGUAAGGACGAGAUUAUUUGUUGUAUGACAGUGGAGCUAGAACCUGUCAAAAUUAUAUCAUCAACGUACACUAAAGCAAAAAGUGUAACGUUAUUCUUGACAUAAGGAAACAAUGACGAGUCUGCAGGCGAGACUCGAAAACUAAUAGCAAUUAAGGCAGAAUGAAACUUUUUGUACCACUAGCGCGGUGCUUGAUGAAGGCCAUAGAGAGAAUGCCCAAGUCGACAAACAUGAUCUGGUUUUAUUCGUUAGAAACAUCUAACUUUUUUAUUAUCCAAUCAUAAGAGACUGAGAGAAAGUCUCAAAAUAAUCAAUACCAACGCUGAUGAAACCCUUUUGCUACUAGCCUCGCUUUGUAGCGGUGAAUACUCCCAUCGACUCUCUGUUUAGCUCGAAAAACCUACUUGCAACCCACAAUAUUUUGUGCAGUACUUGGAGGAACCAAUUCCCAUGUACCUGUCUGAAUCAGGACAUUAAAUUCCUGAAUCAUAGCAUCUCGCCAAUUAGAGCUUUUAAUAGCCUGCGUAUAACAAGCGGGAACUAAUGUGGAGACUGUAGCAUUAUGAGAUUGGGGAUACCAAGGAAUCUUUGACUUUAAUGUACCAGUCUGUUGCCGUGUAACUAUAGAGUGAGUUUUUAUAGUUGGCAACACAUUCUCAAGAGCAGACGUUAAUGGCGGUGUAUGAGCAGGUGCAGAUAUGGUUUCUGGGUUUGGUUCUUCGUGUUGAAGUGAAGAAGAUGAAGUGGAGUGAUGGGGUGCGAAGGUAUUAAUGAAACGGUGUGUAGAGGUUCUUGGGUGGUAGGUUCGGUUAGGCUAGCAGCUUGGUUUGGCGAGUCAGUUUGCGUUUCAUUUAAUGAAACGGUGUGGAUGGGAGAGGCACAGUCUGCUAGGCUUCGGCUUGGUUGUGGGCCAGUGGAGGCUGAUUGUGUUGAGGUUGCGUUUUGUGUGGUAUGCGUAUGAUGUGAGCUGCAUUUUGGAGAGGAUCCUAAAAUCCCAGCAGUUUGUUGAAUAGGUACAAGCGGUAAUGAGAUUGUAUCAUCUAGCUUCUGAUAGGCAAACACCUGCUCAAAAAACAUAAGAUAUGGCAUGAGAUGAGAGUUCAAGACAAGUAUAGCUUUUGUGAAUUUUGCUGUAUCCCCAAAAGAUUGGAGCUAAUUUAUAAGGAGAAUACGGUUUUUGGAUGAUAUACGAUUUUAGCCAUGAAUGAUCCAAACACAUGUAAUUCAUCAUACUUUGAUUUUUCCAAAAAUCAAAACUCUUAAGGUAUUUGAUUUUGAACAUUUGAAAAUGGCACAUGAUUAAUGAUAAAUGCAGCCGUAUUAAAGUCAUAUGAAAGAAUUUAAUAGAUGUAUUAUUUUGUGAGAUAAAAGCGAGACAUAUAACAAAUUAUUAGUGAUAGAUGGAGAAUAAAGAACAUUAUCAAAUAUGAAAGAAUAACCAUUAACAUGAGCAAUAGAAGAACCACAGAGAGAAUUGGAAGAGUGGGUUUUACUGUCGGCAAUAGUGAGCGCAUUAUUAUCAUACACAGUCCACCGUCCAGUUUUGUGGUUGAUCAAGUUCGGCUUUGACAACAUUGGCUUGGGGGAGGUUCUAGGUGAGGGACAUCGUCUUGUCAUAUGGCCACUGCCAUUACAAUUGUAACAUACCAGUCGACUACUUCAAUUUGCAUUAUAAUUGAUUCGACUAGAAUUGUAAAAAUUAUCCUAAGAAUUUCCAUAACCAUGAGAAUUUCCAUAACCACGUCCUUGAUUUCCUCGGCCAAGUCUGCCACGGCCUCCACGAUCAGAGCCCAGUCCACGACUUGAAUUUGCAUUAUAAUUGAUUCGACCAGAAUGGUAAAAAUUAUCCUAAGAAUUUCCAUAACCACGUCCUUGAUUUCCUCGGCCACGUCUGCCACGGCCUCCACGACCAAAGUUUCCACGCCCACCACGACUAGUAUUGAUGUAGUGAGCAGUGGGUGGAACUGAAGAUGCGAUCUGCAUGGAAUCACAUUUGAGUUGAAUUUCUUUACUCAAGAGAAGAGCAUAUAGCUCAUCAAAACCAACAGGAGAAUUACACGCUUCUAUGGCUCGUUUAAAGGGACGAUAUUCAGCACCAAGUCCCUCAAGAACAUAAAAAACCAGAGCAUCUUCAGGAAUAGAGGCGUCUAAUACACCAAGUUGAUCAUUCAGUGAACGGGCCUUACGCAUAUAGGCAUCGAUACUGUCAGUCCCGUGUGACAGAUACUUUAACUGUUUUCUUAAUUGUUGGACCUGUGUUUUUGCAGCAGUAGAAUAGAUCACAGCUAAUUUAUCCCAUGCUUCUUUGGCUGUUUUGCACCUUAUAAUUUGAUGCAUAAUUGUCUCUGAAACAAAACCGUUUAUCCAACUCCUAAUGAUUUGAUCUUGUGCAAACCAAUUAAGGUAUUUUGGAUUAGGUUCACCAAUUGCUAAGGUUUUUGAAGGAGCGCUUCCCACAGCAUAUAAUUUGCAGAAGUUAGCUUGAUUGAAAGAAUUUGGGUGACAUUGGAUACUUGAAUGGAAGAAAUAGAGGGUACUGGAGGAACAAGAGAUUGUUCUGUGCCCAUCGUUUUCGAAUAAUGACGAAUGAAAAAUGAAAACGAAUAGUGAGAAACGAAAAUAAUAGAUUACAGACUUAUCUUUAACAUACAAGUAGUUAGAAGUGAUAAUUACAAAAUUAAUAUUUACAGCUUGUAAUCCUCAUCAAUAUCAUUUCCAUAUUAAAAGUUUAGCUUUUCAAUUAAUUGUGUAUAUUUUUUUUCUUUUGUGGUUGUUUAUCAACUUAUCUGUGCAGAUUUAAUUAAUAUUUUAAAUGUGAAAGGUUCAGUGGAUAGUUUUUUAUUAAUGUGUUGUAAUAUGAUGGGUUCUCUAAACCGUGAAAACCAUUUAAAUUGAGGCGUUGAAUUUGCAGUUCAAAAGUGAAUGCAAUCAAUGAAUAGGAGAUUUCACUGUUCUAAAAAUGGUUUCCAUAUUAUUUAAUUUCCCUUAUUGUAAUGGAAGAAAUCAUAUUAGAACUAUUCUCACAAGUAAAAUUAUUUGAAAGAUAGAUUGGAACAUUGUAUAUUUAGUUUUUCUCCAUUCUGGAAGUUUUUAAAUUCUUUUACUGCAUUAUGCAACAAUGUAAUGCAUUUCUUUGCCCUACAAAAAAGAGUGAAUAAAUUAUUAUUAAUUAAAAAGUUAUUUAUAAUUUAAAACAGAUUAAAAAGAAAAACAUACCUGUUCUGUGGGGGAGUAUGAUUUUGAUUUAAAUCAAAAUGGGGAAAAAGUACAAGGAAAUGUAAAACAAUGAAUAUAGUAUUAAUUAAGGAAAUGUUUAAAAUCCAAGAAAACCUGUAAAGCCUUAUCACAUCUAUGGAAGAAUUUAACCGGCACAGAGCAGCCACACAAAUUCCCAAUUUUAGCUUUUUCCAUCACCACAAAAUAUAUUUCCCUCUGCCUUCCAAUCACAAAGCCUCUCGUCUCUCCUUUCUCUGACAAUUCCCAAACUUUGCAUGAGAAGAGAGGUAAGUGCUAUUACCAUCCCUAUUUGUUUCAAUUGAUUUGUUGAAUUCUCAGUAUUCUUUUAAAUUUUCUACUUAGAGAACUAUUCUGAUGGGUUCCAUGGUGGUUCUUGUAGGAAGCAUGCCGUCCCUGGCUUCCUUGAUUAGCUUAGGGAGCUUUAGUGUGACGGCAGCCAUCACUAGUUCAUCGGAAUCUUCUCCUUCUCCUUCUUAUUCUUCAUUUGUUCGGAGAGUUUCUCUAGCUAAAAGGAGUUUUAGGAGUGCCAAGAGAUGGCACUGUGUUUGUAGAUAUUCAGUCACUACCCCAGAUUUCAUUGCUGAACAAGGCAAUGCUGUGUCUCUUGAUUCUAACAAUUCAUUUAGAGCAAGCAAUAAUGGUGAUGUUGAUAACGAAAUCGUACUUAAGCCUGCGCCUAAGCCUGUGUUGAAAUCUGCUUCUUUAGGCUCUAAGGGUGAAUCCCUUUUAGGUGUGAGCUCUAUUGAGUUGGACCCUUCGAGUGAUUCUGAUGAUGAACGGGAGAGGAAUGAGGUGAUUGAGUCUCUUGGUGAGGCGUUGCAGAAGGCCGAAAAGCUUGAAAAUUCUAAGCCGAGUCUUAGCACUACUAGGAAAGAUAAUGGAAAUGUAAAUAAACCGACACCAUCUAACAUGGGUGUAAAUUCCAGAGUUGCUAAAUCUGGGAACCUUGCUGCAACUGGCAAAACUAAAACUUCGAAGAGUGUGUGGCGGAAAGGGGACACUGUGGUAAGUGUGCAAAAAGUCGUGAAGGAAGCUCCUAAGACUAAUAAUAAGCUUGUGAAAGAAAAGGAAAACAUAACAAGGGAAGGAACAAAGCUAGAAUCUCAACCUAGUGUUCCUUUAAGGCCCGUGCAGCCUCCCCUGAGACCUCAGCCCAAAUUACAGGCUAAGCCAUCUGUAGCUCCUCCUCCUAUGAUGAAAAAGCCUGUUAUCCUGAAGGAUGUGGGAGCAGCUCCAAAGCCACCAGUUGGUGAUAAAGCUGAUUUGGGUGCUACAAAAAGUACUGGAAGGCAGCCAAUUUUAGUUGACAAAUUCGCCCGUAAAAAACCUGUUGUUGAUCCUCUAAUUGCUCAAGCAGUUUUAGCCCCCACAAAACCAGGAAAGGCCCCUGCCUCUGGAAAGUUCAAAGACCGAAAGAAAAGUGUUUCUCCUGGAGGACCACGGAGACGAAUUGUUGAUGAUGAUGAUGUUGAGAUUCCUGAUGAAGAAACAUCAGAGCUAAAUGUCCCUAUUCCAGGUGCAGCUACUGCGAGGAAAGGGAGGAAAUGGAGUAAAGCUAGCCGGAAAGCAGCUAGACUCCAGGCUGCCAAAGAGGCAGCUCCUGUCAAAGUAGAAAUUUUAGAAGUUGGGGAAAAAGGUAUGUUGAUUGAGGAGUUAGCCUACAAUUUGGCCAUUAGUGAAGGUGAAAUUCUUGGUUAUCUCUACUCAAAGGGGAUUAGACCUGAUGGGGUGCAAACACUGGACAAGGACAUGGUAAAGAUGGUGUGCAAGGAGUAUGAUGUAGAGGUCAUAGAAGCUGAUCCUGUUAGAUUUGAAGAAAUGGCAAGAAAAAGGGAAAUUCUUGAUGAAGAUGAUCUGGACAAACUGGAAGAGAGGCCCCCUGUCCUCACUAUAAUGGGGCAUGUGGAUCAUGGCAAGGUGGAGCAUUAGCAUUCUCUAUCUUCUUUUUCUUCAUUCUUGGUAGAUUUGAAUUUGAAAGGAAAGUUUUAAAUCUUGGAAACACUUUGCUAAUACCUGUUUGAUGUUUAUUUGUAUGGCAGACAACCCUGUUGGAUUACCUUCGUAAAAGCAGGGUAUGUGGAAAACUUCAUCAUAUUGAUAUUACUUUUUUAUUUGUGUUCCUCUCGAUGCCUAUGAAUAAAUUUGAACUUCUAAUUUUUCUAGGCUAUUCUUCUGUUCCUAUUUAAUUAAAUACUGUAAAAAGUCUCGUCACUUAAUCUUGAGAUUGAUAUUGGGUUAAUUGAUUUAUGAAGCUAUUUGUGGUCAGUUCUAGCAUGAUAUACAGAUAAUUUAACUGAAUCCUGAUGGCUAAAUAUUUACAGGUGGCUUCCUCAGAGGCUGGUGGGAUUACACAAGGAAUUGGAGCAUAUAAAGUUUUGAUACCAGUUGAUGGGAAGUUGCAACCUUGUGUUUUCCUUGAUACUCCUGGGCAUGAGGUAGGGUUUUGUGAAAUGGGUAAAGGCUUGAUAGAUUAUAUAUAGUGUGCAUUAAUAUUUGUUUAAGCAACUGAUUUCUAAUGCAUUUCGUAAACUCAACUGUGUGCUGUGAUGUGUUUGUACUUCCUUGCCUUUAGAUGAUAUCAAUAUUAUCUGCUCCUGUAGGCAUUUGGAGCAAUGAGAGCUCGAGGAGCAAGGGUGACAGAUAUUGCAAUUAUUGUGGUAGCUGCUGAUGAUGGUAUUCGCCCUCAGACAAAUGAGGCCAUAGCUCAUGCCAAAGCAGCUGGAGUUCCAAUUGUAAUUGCUAUAAAUAAGGUGUGUCAACUGCAAUGGCUUUUCUAUUUCUCAAAAUUGAGCUUGUUGCACUUGAAUCUUGAAAAUGCAAAUGGUUUUCAUUGGAUUCGCUGAUUCUCCAUAGACAUGAUAUCUUCUUCCUUUUCUUUUUCCAUCAGAUAGAUAAAGAUGGAGCAAAUCCAGAAAGAGUCAUGCAAGACCUUUCUUCAAUUGGUCUCAUGCCAGAAGACUGGGGUGGUGAUGUCCCAAUGGUUCAGGUGUUUUUUUUAAUCUUUUUAACUUUAUUGCAUCUAUCUUUUUUGCUUUAUACUUUUUGCUUGAUGCUUAUAUUCUGCUACCUCCUCUUAACAGAUCAGUGCUCUCAAGGGGGAUAACAUAGAUGAUUUGUUAGAAACUGUUAUGCUUGUUGCUGAGGUCAGUUAAUUUUAAUUGGUUGCCAGCUAGUUGGUAUUGGUGUUUUUCUUGCAAUUUGCAACAAUAUAAAGUUCUCGUAUGCUUGGUGUUUCAUUGUGAGAUUUGGUUUCUUAGACUUAAUUUGAUGGUUGUGACAUCUCUUUUGCAUCCAUACCGUCCAUGCUGAUCCCUUCAGCAGGACAGUAUAUGUAGGGAUGUUACAAGGCUUUGGAAUUCAAAUGCAUCUGAUUCAAUGAGUAGAGCAGCAAAAAGACAACCAGAAAUAUAUUUACGGACAGAAUUAUUUAGUUGGAGCUACUAACUUCCUAGACAUAUGCAGCAAUACCUAUAGAUACUGUAGGAGUCUAAGCAAUCAUCUCUGAAAAAGAUUACCAAGAUUUAAAAGGAUGCAGCGUGUAUCCAAAUAUUUGCACAUAGAAACAGUGAAAUUGAUGCUUGUUCUGAUGCUAUGGCUAAUAUAGAAGUGAACUCACCAUUGGGUUGUCAUUGUUUUAGUUCCCAGUGCAAAGUCUUUUUUUAUAUGUUUUUUAAUUAUUUUUAUUUUUUAAUUUUAUGAUCUUUGUGGAGAGAGAGUGCCAUGUCCUGGAAAUGAUUUAGUGUAGUGUAUUGUUUCUUAUUAGCUAUUCACCAUCUUUGUCUUCUGACCCUGAUUGUUUCAGUUGCAAGAGUUGAAGGCUAAUCCUCAUAGAAAUGCAAAGGGUACUGUUAUUGAGGCAGGUCUUCAUAAAUCUAAAGGACCGGUAGCUACAUUUAUUGUGCAGAAUGGCACGCUUAAAAGAGGGGAUAUAGUGGUUUGUGGAGAAGCUUUUGGCAAGGUUGGUUUGUAGGCUUGAAACUUCAGUCACUUCCUUUACAUCUUAAAACGAUUAAAUGCUUAAUUUUGAAAGCUAACCCAUCUUGGAGAAUUUAUGCUCCUUGUCAGGUGCGAGCUUUAUUUGAUGAUAGUGGAAACCGAGUUGAUGAAGCUGAACCAUCUAUUCCUGUACAGGUUGGUUUAUUUAUUUUCUAUGUGCAUUUUUAUUUCCAUACUUUCUGCAUCACUGUACUCACUCAUGAGUGGUAGCUUACUAGCUUGUUUGUAGGAGAUCUUCUUCAGUAGGAUAUAAUGAUCUAGUCAGUACAUUGCUAUGUUGAUAAUGCUAAAAUGAAGUAAUCAGAAAUCUAGUUAUGCACUUCUCUUCAAAAAUGGUCCUCUCUAGUUUGGAAAAAUUGAACAUUAUUAAGAUUCCAGAAGGGGUUUCAUGCUCCGUUGCAACUGUGAUCAUACCCAUCCCAAUCAUCCUUUUUUUUAUUGUUCUUUUUACUCCAUCAUGUGUGAUAGUCUGACUUGCUAAAUUUUCGUAAUAGAUCUGCCAGCUUCUCUUUAUCUUUUGUCACUUUAAUGUUUCUGUGGUUUUUGGGUAUUAGUUUUUAUCCCUUGAUAUGAUUUAUUAUAUUCAGUGAAAAAAUCCUGUAAAAUGGUUCUCUAUUCAGUAGCAUGCGAAAUAUGCUAAAAUUUGAAAUUGAGAAAAGUGUAUGAUGUAUUGGAGUUAUUUUCAUUGUUUUCAAAUCAGUUGACUUAUGUAGCUAUUCCUAUUCCUAAUUUACCUUAAAAAUAUCUUGCACUCUUGUCUAUAGGUUAUUGGAUUGAAUAAUGUGCCAAUUGCUGGUGAUGAAUUUGAAGUUGUUGCCUCCCUUGAUAUUGCACGGGAAAAGGCUGAGGCACGUGCAGAAUUAUUGCGUGAUGAGCGGAUAUCAGCCAAGGCUGGGGAUGGAAAAGUUACACUUUCUUCUUUAGCGUCGGCUGUUUCAUCAGGAAAGCUGUCUGGUCUAGACUUGCACCAGCUAAAUAUUAUAAUGAAAGUUGAUGUUCAGGUAUACAAGUUCUACUAAAAAAUAGCAACCCUCAUGACGAUUUCUUGUUCAUCAUUCUGUGAGUUUGAAAACGUGACAUCUUGGAAACAUGGUUUGGCUUUUCUGCUCGUGCUUGCUUUUAGUUCCUGCUAUGUAUGGGAUCCAUCAAAAACCCUGAUUGUGUUGCACUUACUUUUUAGCAAAAUGUAUUGAAUUGAUCAUCAAGUAAUACUAUCUAGGAAGAAACUAAGAACUUCAUGGUUAUGACUAGGGAUCAAUUGAAGCUGUCAGACAAGCCUUACAAGUGCUCCCCCAGGAUAAUGUCACCUUGAAGUUCCUUUUGCAAGCAACAGGAGAUGUUAGCACCAGUGAUGUUGAUCUUGCCAUUGCUAGUGAAGCUAUUAUUUUAGGAUUUAAUGUCAAAGCGCCAGGUUCUGUCAAGAGCUAUGCAGAAAACAAAGGUGUUGAGAUUCGGUUAUAUAGAGUUAUCUAUGAUCUCAUUGAUGAUGUACGAAAUGCAAUGGAAGGACUUCUGGAACCUGUUGAGGUUAAUUCAAGACCUUUAUUUUCGACAUCCUUAUUUUUCUUUUUAAUAUUCUUGGGCAGCCUUUGAUUAUAUUAUGCAGAUUUAAUGAAUAUCUUCUUCUAUAACAUAGGACAGGUCAACGGUUUGGAUAUUAGUUACAAUGUAGGUGUGAAACUGUUUAGCUUUAACGUUUGUGGAAGAUUUUGCAAAUUAUGUCUCCCUGACGUGUUUUGGGUUGGUCGGUUGUUUAGAUGGGAGCGAACCAAAGUAGUGCUUCUGGUACCUUCCACAUGUGAAGACUUAGAACCUAUUUGCUGACUUGGGAGCCAAUCAGUUUGCUGUUUUUCUUUCUUUUUCUUUUUUCCCAUCCCUUGUUUGGACCCACUUGUGUAGCAUGUCACAGCAUAGGCACACUGAUAUUUCGUUUACUGCUGUGUAACAUUUCUCACCAAUCUCUUCAUUAGGUCUAUGAAGCAUGUGCAUCCGAUUAAUCAUUCUUUUCCCUUGCUUUUUCUUCCCUCUUUUGGUUUUUUGGUGGAGGUGAAAGCAUGCUUGGUGAAAUAGUAAGAUUAUACCAUUCUAACCUGGAGAUCUUAAGCUCAUUUCACAGAAAGUUAGAAAGUUAGGAACAGAUUCCUUGCAAGGCAAGGGGAAGUAUUGCACAUUUCUGUUUCACUGCUACCAACAAAGGGAUACUGUUUGUCCUAUUUAUUCUCAUUGAACUUGUUCUCUCAUGAGUUAAAUAGGGAGCAAUUACUUCUCUUUACCUUUGAGAAUAUAUAUAUAUAUAUAUAUGUUCUUUUUAUAUUGAAGAUUAAAUUGGAAAGUUACUUGUGUAUUGAUAGGAAGAAAAAACAAUAGGCUCAACAGAAGUCCGGGCUGUAUUUAGCAGUGGCAGUGGUCGUGUUGCUGGAUGCAUGGUAACAGAUGGGAAAGUAGUGAAAGGAUGUGGCAUUAAAGUCAUUCGAAAGAAAAAGAUAGUCCAUGUUGGUGUACUUGAUUCCCUGAGACGAGUUAAGGAAAUUGUGAAAGAGGUAUGACAUUGAACCAGUAAAGUUCUGAUUUCUGACAGUAGUCAAAUUUAUGGUGUUUCAGUGUUCAAUAUUUGUUACUUUGAAAUUUAGUUAAUAAUGCUUUUCCAGACCUGAAUUUCAGAUUUUAUCUCAAAUCAAAUUUCAUGUAUGCAAAUGGCUUGAUGAUGAUUAAUUCUCUAUUCAGGCAUAUGGAAAUAAUUGUUUUGCCCACAUAUAUACUAAUUGCUUAGAACUAAAGACUCCACAGAGAUGAAUAUAUUAGAUCAUCGUAUAUAAUGGUUUCUCUGUUUAUUUUUGUCCUUUUUAAAGGCACUGAGUGCGUAACAGCAAACUUUUCAGUGAGAUGGUGAACCUUGUGUUACAGCACCAAAUUGCUUUGUGUUGUACCGUGAAAAUAUUUGAUUUUUUGGCAGGUAAACGCUGGGCUAGAGUGUGGUAUUGGGAUGGAAGACUUCGAUGAUUGGGAGGAAGGAGAUACCAUCGAGGCCUUCAACACAGUUGAGAAGAAGCGGACCCUCGAAGAGGCAUCAGCUUCAAUGGUAGCUGCAAUGGAAGAAGCAGGAAUUAACUUGUAGAAGAACGUACAGUGUGGCAUCAAAAUUGGCAAAUUUGCUUUCCCCGACGGACAGGGGAAAGAAAAAAUCAUCAUAGAUGAAACAGCUUAUGAAAUCAGUGGUCUACAUUGCUCAACAGGAAGAAUAUAUAAAUGGGGCUGGCCUUGGCAUGCAAUUUAUUUCUAAGUGCCAAGUGCUUCAGAGACUUGAAGCCUGAGCAUGCAUUAAUUUUGCCCAUUGUUGUACGCUAUUCUGUCUGUAUGUAUGUAUGUAUAUAUCACAAGGGACAACCUUACAAGUUCCUUAAUGAUUAUAUGUCUCAAAAAUACUCUGGAAUGGCAUUCAAAGGUGAGAUUUUUUUUUUUCUUUUUCUUUUUAUAAAUUAUAUGCUUUUGCAUGCGAAUCACUUGAAGAGGUUAAAAUGUGAUUAGUGUUUGUAGAUUUUUGUACCGAGAAUUAAAAAUUAUUGAAAUAUCUUAUUUUUAUGAAAUAAAUAAAUAACAUACAAAUCUUAAUGUCAAAGAGUAAAGAUUAUGUGGAUUUUGCUUAAAUAUCAAAGAAUUUUUAAUAAUAAUGAUAAUAAUUAAUUUAUUGGGUUGCUUACGAGUAAAACGUAGUGACGUAAUAAUUCAAGGAGAAAGAGGGCAGAAGUAUGGUCUCGUGUGGGACAAGAGGGAAAGGGCAACAAUUUUCAAAUUUGAAAACAGAGCAAACGCUCAGCUCUCUCAAUUCACACAGCUCAGAAUCAGAUUGAAUGCUUUCCUUUUUCUCCAUUAACUAAAUCAUAAGCUUUCCUUUUCUCUUUAUUCUCUUCCUCUUCUUCUUCUUCUUCUUCUUCUUCUUCUUCUUCUUCUUCUUCUUCAUUCUCUUCUCCUUUUUUAUGAUCAUUACACAUUCAACUCAUUUGAAUGGAAAAUCACCAUGCCCCAUUUCUCCUUACUGACGUUUCAUGGCGAUGUAAAUUCCUUGUCUUUUUUUUUUUUUUUUUAAAAAAAAAAAAUCUUUUUCUGUCUGCCUCUACUUUGCUUCUAGUCUUCUUCACUUUGCUCCUCUCAGACUCCCAACACUCUUCUCCAAGGUCUUCAACACUCAAGAUGGCGGAUCCUGAUUCUUCUGCAAACCCAGAUAGCUGCAUUUAUCUCACUCUUCAUUUUUGCUUUGUUUUUCUGUUCCAGUAGUGUUUCUGGGUGCAGUUCAGCUGAUGAUUUCAUUGUUGUAGAUGCUUCUUGUGAAACCACUCAAAGCUUGGAAACAUAUGAUGCUCAAAAGCUUAUUCGCUCUGUUGCUAAUGAUGCCAUUGACGGUAUAAUGCCUCCAAUUGUUACUUGUUCACGCUUGAUUCGGCCUUCAACAGUAGAUACCUGUGGGUUUUUCAAGAAUUUGAUUCCACUCUACGCUCUAUCUUCCCAGACCUCUCCAUGCUCGGUUUUUCUGAAACAUCUCCUGAUCUGGUUAUUUGCUCUGGUUCUCCUGAGAUACCAAGGACUACUUAUGGAGAUUUCCCUGAAUUAUGGGAUAGAAAUAAGUACAAGGGUUCUUUUGAGCUCUCUCUAGAGAAUGAUAUCGAGGCUAGUGACAAGAAAGAUGCCCAUAAAUCCCUAUCUGUAAAGUUUUCUUCAAUAUGCCAAACAUUUGACAAAGAAUUGUCUCCUGAAUCUUCCUUGAAGCUCCUUAUAAAGCCAGAAAAGGAAGAGAAAUUCCCAGAAAAUCCCCUACUUGGUGUGAGCAUCAAUGCAGGAUCCACUGAUGGGGCUGUGGUUUUGGGGGUGGUGAAGAGUUUUUGGAGGACACUUGUUUCGCUGGUGGUGAUACUGUAAGGACAAAUGCUCCAAUUGGAGAUGGACAAGAAGAUGGUCUUUGUUUGUACCAAACAGCUCGUUUUGGCAACUUCUCCUACUUUUUUCCUGCACUGGAGCCAGGGAAUUAUGCUGUGAGUCUGCAUCUCGCAGAAAUUGUAUUCACAGAUGGCCCUCCUAGGAUGAGAAUGUUUGAUGCUUUAAUACAAGAGAAAAAAAAGGUGAAACUCAAGAAACUGAGACAAACUGGAACUCCUUGUAAUUGAGAUAAAAACUUAAUCUUGUUCUGUUGAUUGAUCACUCAUGCAGGUCGUUUCCUGCCUAGACAUAUAUGCUCAAGUUGGUGCAAACAAGCCUCUGGUUAUAUCUGACCUUAAGAUUUGUAUUUAUUGUGAUGAGGGCUUAUCCAUUAGGUUCGAAGGAGUAAUGGGAAGCCCAAUCGUCUGUGGCAUUUCUAUAACCAAAGAUUCUUUUGCUGGUAAGUUCAAUUCUGCUCCCAUUUUUUGGUUCAGAUUAUCAGUUGGAACUUGGCCAAGCUCUUAAAAUCCAAAUGUCAGAUGCUGGGGAAGCUCAAUUAUCGAAACCAAUGGGAAUAUCUCAAGUGCCAGAAUGCAACUCACCAGAAAUAAACCUUCUAAUCCUAAUUCUAACUUUAAAUUAUGAUCCAAAAUAAAAAAAAGGUUUGACAUACUGAUUCUCUAUUUUUCCUAAAAAUAAUUAAAAAAAUGGUUAGGAAGCCGGUGGUGAGCAAGAAGUGAAAGAAGAUUACCGGGAGCUACUUAGACAAGUUGAGUUUCAGAAAAGGGAACUAAUAGAGAUGAGGAGGGCAUUGGAGGAGCUUAAAAGGGAAAACCAACUUAAGAGUAGAGAAUGCCAAGAUGCUUGGAAGUCUUUACAGGAGCUACAGAAUGAGCUUAUGCGCAAGUCUAUGCAUGUCGGAUCCUUGGGUAAGGAAAGUUCAUUGUUUUUGUGGUAAUCGGUUCAGACCUUCUUUUCAAAAAAAAAAGGUAAAGUUAGAAUGACCAUUGUUUUUGUAGCAUUUGCCAUUGAGGGACAAGUGAAAGAGAAGAGUAGAUGGUUUUCAUCAUUGAGGGACAUGACUAGGAAAUUGAAGGUACUAAAAUAAUUAUGAGUGGAGAUGUCCCUAUGUUCAAAUUGAUAUGCAAUUACAUUAGUUUUUAAAGUUCCUUUUCCAGCUUAUGAAAAUGGAUCACAUAAAGCUAUCAGCGGAGGCAUUCGCCUAUAAGAAGUGCCUUGCAGAUAUGAAUGAAUUGAGGUUGACCAUUCAGUCCAAAAGCAGGUUAACAUACAAUUAACAAUUCAUUUUAAUUUUACAGCUAAAUGUUUGAGAUUUAUUUCUUUGUCUUCUUAAUGAAUUUUUCAUGUUCUGGUAGUGAAAGAGCAAAUAGAUUUGAAUGAAGAUCUCAAGAUUAAAUUUACCGAAGGGGCCAAGGAACGAAAGGAACUCUAUAACAAGGUUUUAGAGUUGAAAGGUAGCUGUAUAUAGCAUGUUUGCUUUGGCAUGUAAGAUUUGAAAUCUUAUGGAAUUAAGGAGGUUCACUGAAAACUGAUGUCUCAUGCAGGAAACAUAAAGGUCUUCUUCCGAUGUAGGCCUUUAAAUGCUGAAGAACUUGCAUUGGGUGCUUCAAUGGCUAUUGAUUUUGAAUAUGCUGAAGAUGGUGAGCUCACUGUUACUUCAAAUGGGCUCUACAGAAAAACCUUCAAGUUUGAUGCUGUUUUUAGCCCUCAAUCCGACCAAGGUAGUUAGAACUCAAUCUGAAGAUACAUGUUAAAGUUUUUCAGUAAUGAAUUUUAUUCUAGCAAUACAAGCCAUCCUUUUUAAUAGUGUUUAGUCACCUGUUUGUUUUUGCUUGAUUAUUUAGCUGAAGUUUUUGAAGACGUUGCUCCAUUUGCAACCUCAGUUUUGGAUGGUUACAACGUAUGCAUAUUUGCUUAUGGACAAACUGGAACUGGGAAAACCUUCACAAUGGAGGGCACAGAAGAACCUCGUGGAGUAAAUUGUAGGAUUCUUGAUGAGAUAUUUCACAUCAUUAAGGAGCAGAAUAAUAUAUUUCGGUACGAUGUAUCAGAAGUAAUAAAAUUCCAUGUUCAUAAAAUUUGCUCAAAUGAAGUAAUAACAUACGAUCAGAAGUUGAGUUAAAGGUUACUAUGUGGUUCUCUCUUGAUACAGCAUUCACUGUGUGAUGGUGAAAGGAGAGAAUGCAUUAACUGGGGAAUGUACAAGGAGCAAGUUAUGGUCGGUUGAUCUAGCAGGAAGUGAGAGAGUAGCAAAGACAGAAGCCCAGGGAGAGAGCGGCUUAAAGAAACCCAAAAUAUCAACAGAUCUUUAUCUGCACUUGGUGAUGUCAUAUCCACUCUUGCAACUAAAAGCCCUCACAUCCCAUUUAGGUUGUCAUUUGCAUGCUAGCCUUUUAUUUUCUUUGUGCAAAUCAACAACCUAACGCAUGCAUCUUCAGUUUGAAAUUUUUCAUGAUGUUUCCUCGUGUGUAGGAAUUCCAAGCUGACCCACCUGCUUCAGGAUUCCUUGGGUAAAUUUCUUUCUACAUUUUCCCAAAGAAAAAAAAAAGAAUAUGGACAAGUGCAAUGAUUACUAUAGUUCAUAAUUUCUGUGAAAUUCCAAGUUUCUUUGUUCUUUUCUCUUUUGUUCUAUUUUAUUCCUCUCUGCGGAAUGAUAAUGACGAACGGAUUUUUGUUUGAUUAGGAGGAGAUUCAAAAACUCUCAUGUUUGUACAGAUAAGUCCCAAUGAAAAUGACCUGGGUGAGACCCUAUGCUCCCUGAACUUUGGAAGCAGAGUAAGAGGGAUAGAGUUGGGUCCUGCACAAAGGCUAUUGGACACCGCUGAACUUCUGAGAUAUAAACAGAUGGUAUUAGAAUUUUCCUAUUUUUAUGCAUCGUUGUCAUCUUUCUAUGAAGUAUGCUUGAGGAAAAUCUUGACUCUUCUACUUCCAAGGCUGAAAAAUAAAAACAAGAUAUGAAGGCCAAAGAUAUACAGCUCAAGAAGAUGGAGGAAACAAUCCAUGGAUUGGAGUUGAAGAUGAAAGAAAAAGAUUUCAGAAAUAAGAAUCUUCAAGAGAAGGUAAGAUACAUGAAAACUAGCUGCCAUACUUGAAUGUCUCUCUCUUUUUUUCCCCUUUAUUUUUCCUUUUCUUUUUUUGAGGUUAAAUCAUGCAGGUUAGAAUUUCUUAUUGGUUGUUUUGCAGGUGAAGGAGCUGGAGUCACAACUGCUAAUUGAAAGGAAGCUAGCACGUCAGCAUGUGGAUUCAAGGAUAGCUGAGCAGCAACAACAAAUGAACCCACAGAAGGACGAGCAACAUAGUGCAGCACCUAGGCGCCCACUUGCAAAUCGACUAUUAGGAAGUAACAAGAAUUCCAGUGAACAUAAAAGCACUGAAAUGGGCAAAGAUCAAGUAAAUUCCAGUCAACCACUUGCGGAGAACAAUGGCUAUACACCUUGUAUUCCCGUUCAUCUAACAGAAGGCAUUGCCAGAAAUAUCGAUCCCACAGAAAAAGAAAACAAACCAAAUAUGCAUGAACAACUAGGAUUGCCCGAGAUAUCAGUAAGAGCCUCAAUUUGCACAACAUCACAAAGGAUCCCAGUAGCUCCAGCUCCAGUUCCAAGGCGCUGCUCACUUAUUCCCCUCCCAAGCAUGGCAGGUUUAGCAGGGCUACCACCACCACCUCCAUUGCAACCAUUAUCAUUAUGCAAUGACAUGAAAGAAGAUAUAGAAGGGUCAGAAGCUAACUACUUGCCAGAGCAAACACAUUGCAACAGUCCCAAAAGAAUAAAACAUAGGACCAGAAAGCUAAGCAGCAUAUUGAGGAGAAGCCUUAAAAGGAAAAUCCAGAUGAAAUCUCCAGCACAGCAACAUCUGAGAAAAGGAGGUAUAAAUGUUGGAAUGGAGAAGGUUAGGAUCUCUAUUGGAAGCAGAGGGAUCAUAUCGCAUAGGGUAUUGCUAGGAAAUGGCAGAAGACCAGGAAUGAAGGAGACUCAGCAGAACAGGAGUCAAAGGGAAAAGGAGAGAGGAUGGAAUAUUGGGAAGAACUCAACCUAAUUGUUGAAGAUGGCUUUAUUGAUUCUUUAUAGUGCUAAUCAUCUGUUUGAAUCCCUCCAGUGGAUUGGUUAAUGUACAGAGUGUGCUUCUUGCAACAUUUGAAUAUUGUUCCAGUGUGUUGUUCUUGCAAGAAUUGAAAUAUUCUUGUACAUUGGAAAAUUAAAUUACACAAGAAUUUCAAUAAAUUCACCGUAACAGGGACUUAUAAUUACUUUGUUUAUAAAUACAAAUAAAGAAAAUUCAUAUUGCAUUUUUGACAAAUCAGGAAUAAUUAUUUUACAAAAAAAAAAAAAUUAUGUCACUUGUAAUUAAUUCAUUGCAUUAUAGAAUAUGGUUGAAGGGCAUUUGAAUUUAUAUAAUUUAAGGAGUGGAGAAGAGAAUGCCAAGUAGGGCAAUGGACAGAAUAUCUUUGGAUCCAUUGGUCUAUCAAUGUCUCAAUCUGUAACUUUGCAUUCAAUCAUUGAUAUCAUAAAUCAAAGUGGGGUCCUUGAUUGAAGAUUGUACCUAUAUCCUAUUAUUAGCUUCAGCCAAACUUGGCAUAGUGUUUGCUUUUUUAUUCUUUAUUUACAACAAUGGGAGAUGUACUCAAUGCCCACAUCUAGGGCAUAGUUUUUUUCAAAUUAGCUAUUUUAUUAUUAAAAAAAAUAAUAAAUUGAACUUAAAACCUUUUAAAUUUUAAUUUAAUAUAUUUAUUAUCAAAUUAAACUUUUUCAUAAUAUAUUCCUGUAAAAUUUAUUGGAUUUAAAGAAUAAAUUAAUAAUUAAAUGAUAGGAGCAUGUUAGAAAAUUUAAUAUAAUAUUCAUUGUUUUUAACAAUAUAAUAAUAAUAAUAAUAAUAAUAAUAAUAAUAAUAAUAAUAAUAAUAAUAUAAUUAUAAAUUUAAGGGUAAUUUACGAUUUAGUCCCUGGAUAUUGCCAUUAUUAACAAGUCAGUCCCUGUAUUUUUAGAAACCUAUUAAAACGUCCUUAUGUUUUCUCUCCGUCAACGAAAUAGUCCUUCUGUCUAUUUUUGUUGUUAAAAAUAUAGUAAAAGACUAAAUUGCUCCCAAUUAUUUUUCUCCUCCUCCUCCUUCCUUUUCUUCUUCAUCAAUUCUUCUUCCUUUUGCUUCUUCUUCUUCUGCUUCUUCUUCUUCUGCUUCUUCUCCUUUUUCUUCUUCUUCUUCUGUUUUUUCUCCUUCUUCUUCUGCUUCUUCUCCUUUUUCUUCUUUUGCUUCUUUUUCUUCUUUUUCNNNNNNNNNNNNNNNNNNNNNNNNNNNNNNNNNNNNNNNNNNNNNNNNNNNNNNNNNNNNNNNNNNNNNNNNNNNNNNNNNNNNNNNNNNNNNNNNNNNNNNNNNNNNNNNNNNNNNNNNNNNNNNNNNNNNNNNNNNNNNNNNNNNNNNNNNNNNNNNNNNNNNNNNNNNNNNNNNNNNNNNNNNNNNNNNNNNNNNNNNNNNNNNNNNNNNNNNNNNNNNNNNNNNNNNNNNNNNNNNNNNNNNNNNNNNNNNNNNNNNNNNNNNNNNNNNNNNNNNNNNNNNNNNNNNNNNNNNNNNNNNNNNNNNNNNNNNNNNNNNNNNNNNNNNNNNNNNNNNNNNNNNNNNNNNNNNNNNNNNNNNNNNNNNNNNNNNNNNNNNNNNNNNNNNNNNNNNNNNNNNNNNNNNNNNNNNNNNNNNNNNNNNNNNNNNNNNNNNNNNNNNNNNNNNNNNNNNNNNNNNNNNNNNNNNNNNNNNNNNNNNNNNNNNNNNNNNNNNNNNNNNNNNNNNNNNNNNNNNNNNNNNNNNNNNNNNNNNNNNNNNNNNNNNNNNNNNNNNNNNNNNNNNNNNNNNNNNNNNNNNNNNNNNNNNNNNNNNNNNNNNNNNNNNNNNNNNNNNNNNNNNNNNNNNNNNNNNNNNNNNNNNNNNNNNNNNNNNNNNNNACGAUUUCGUUGACAGAAAGAAACGAUGAGGAGGGACUAUUUCGUUGACUUAAAUAAACGAUAAGGAUGUUUUAAUAGAUGUGAGAAAAGAUAGGGACUAUUUCAUUGAUGGAAAAAAAUAAUAAGGACGUUUUAAUAGAUAUGAAAAAAGAUAAAAAUAUUUUAAUAGAUUUUUGAAAAUGUAAUGGCUAACUUGUUAAUAAUUACAAUAUACAAGGACUAAAUAAAUGGUUUUAUUUAAGGGUAAAAUUGGAUUUUAAAAAUUUUCUCUCUCCUCCUUUAUCUAAUUUUAACGGAAAAUAGGACGGAAAGACUAUUUCGUUGACGGAAAUAAAACAUAAGGACGUUUUAAUAGGUUUCUAAAAAUACAGGGACUGACUUGUUAAUAAUAGUAAUACCUAAGGACUAAAUCGUAAAUUAUUCUUAAUUUAAUUUGAUGAUAAAUAUAUAUAAAUAUAAAAAGUUUCGUAUUCUACUCUCAAUUGUUUAUUCAUAUUUUAAGAAUGAACAUAAAUUUUCUCCGACAAAGCAAAUUUUGAGAGAUUGGAUGCCACCGCCACUUUUCAAAUGCUUUGCUCCAUUCCUUCUAUUGCUAAAACCAAAGAAGAAUCAACUCUAUUCUUGUCAAUCUCCUCUUUCUUUAACUUAAAAAAAAAAAAAAUUCUAAUUUAUUAAAUUUAUUUUAGUUUCGAGUUUGAAUUUCGGAAAAUAAAUUAAUGAAAUGUGGUCUAUGCUGAUUACAGCCAACUCUUAUAAAUAGCUCAGCACCACCCUCAGUUUCAAUACCAAAAGAAGAAGAAAAAAAAAAGCCUUCCCCUGCUCUUCAAAAUUUGUCCUGAACAUCAACAACAAUGGUGGUCCUGUCCAAUCCAGGUAUUGAACAGUUGUCAUCUCUAAGAAACUGCAAACCCACCACAUUAUUUUCUGGAAUUCCCAUUAUAGACCCCUCUAAAUCUGACUCUAAGCACCUCCUUGUUAAGGCCUGCGAGGAUUUUGGAUUCUUCAAGGUCGUCAACCAUGGAAUCCCCAUGGAAUCCAUUUCCAGGCUUGAAUCUGAAGCCCUCAGCUUCUUCUCAUUGCCUCUUUCUGAAAAGCAAAAGGCUGGACCUCCUAAUCCUUUCGGCUAUGGUAACAAAAUCAUUGGACCAAACGGCGACGUUGGUUGGGUCGAAUACCUUCUCUUCACAAUCAAUCAAGAAUCCAUUUCCCAGAGGUUCAUUUCAGAAGAUUUUAGGUACUGAAAUUUGACAAAAAUUAAUCAGAUUGUGAAUUAUUUGAUAUUAAUUGUCUUCUCUUUCAGGUCUGCUUUGAAUGAUUACAUAUCAGGUGUGAAAAAGAUGGCAUGUGAGAUUCUUGAAAUGAUGGCUGAUGGUUUAAGAAUCCAACCAAGAAAUGUGUUCAGUAAACUUUUAAUGGACGAACAGAGCGACUCUGUUUUUAGGCUAAAUCACUACCCUCCAUGCACAGGGCCAGGGAUUCACACUCUGAAUUCUAACAAUAUGAUUGGAUUUGGAGAGCACACAGACCCACAAAUCAUUUCUGUACUGAGAUCCAACAACACAUCUGGCCUGCAAAUCUCUCUUGGAGAUAGCAAAUGGAUUUCAGUCCCACCUGACCAAAACUCCUUUUUCAUCAAUGUUGGUGACUCUCUGCAGGUAACCCAAGUUCACUUUUUUUUCUUUUUUGAUAUGUACAAGGUUGUCGUCUCCAUUACAGUGCCUCUAAAUUCAAUUUUACCAAAAUGGGUUGCUUGGGUUUUGGACAGGUCAUGACUAAUGGGAGGUUUAAAAGUGUGAGGCACAGGGUUUUGGCAAACAGUAUGAAAUCCAGAGUUUCAAUGAUAUAUUUUGGUGGGCCACCUUUGAGAGAGAAAAUAGCUCCAUUGGCUCCACUCAUGAAGGGAGAAGAGGAGAGCUUGUACAAAGAAUUCACCUGGUUUGAGUACAAAACAUCUGCAUAUAACUCAAGGUUGGCUGAUAAUAGGCUUCUUCUCUUUCAGAAAAUAGCAGCCUCAUGAUUUCAGCUAAGAGCAACUCUACCUGGGUUCUUUUUUAUUUAUUUUCUAAUACGUUAUCAAAGUGAAAGUUUUUAUAUAAUUAUUUAUUAAAAAAAAAAAAUUGUAUGGUUACUGUUUUGCCACAAACGACAGUCGUAUUCCAUUUGCCUGUUUGAGGACGAUUGAUAGAAAGUUGAUGAUUAUAUUUGAAUAUUCUUCAACUUUUUCCUUUUUCUUUUUCUUUUUCUGAAACCCAAUUCUUCAACUCAUGCUCUUUUGAAUAAUGAACUUUUUUAUUUCGAAAUUUAAAUUAAAUUACAUAUAAAUUUUUAUUUUUAAAUUACUAAUCUAAAAAUAUAAAUGUAAAUUUAAUUAGCUUGUAAUCUGGAUAAAAAAACAAAAUUGAAAUAAAUUAUUGAAACUUAAUUUUACUGUUAUAGUCAAUUUUUUAACAAAAAAAAACUUAUUACACACUCAAUUUAAAUUUUACUCAUUUUAAAUUUAAACUAAAUAUUUAAAAUUAAAUAUUAAUAAGUUAAAAAUUAAUUAAUUUAAUAAAGAAUUUUAAUUUGUAUCGAGUAUAAUAUUAAAUAAUCUAUGAAUAAUUUAAUUUAUUUAUGAGUAUAAUAAAAUUUAAUUUAAAAUUAAUAAAUUUAAAAUUAAAUAAUUUUAAUUAAAUAAAUUUAUAUAAAAAUUAACUAAAAAACCUGUAAAAAUAAAUUUUUAAAUCUUAAAUAUGAAUAUUUGUAGGUUAUAAGAAUGCAAUCAAAUUAUACAAGGCUGAAUACUAAACAAGUUAAAUUUAGCUUAUAAAAAGUUAUACAGGUUUUGAGUUGAAUACUCUUAUUACAUUGAAUUUAAUUUAUUUAUUAAAUCUGUUUAUCAUAAACUAGAAAAUAAAAAUAAAUUGACCUCACGAGUUUAAUAAAUCCAACUCAUAAAUCUCAAUAAAAAACUCGGACUAGUUUACUAAACAAAUUUAAAAAUUAAGUCUAAAAUUGAUUCAUUUAAAAAUUAAUCUGAGUACGAUUAAGUUUUUAUCAAGUCAAAUCUUAAUAACUCAAAAAAUAGCUUAGUUCAUUUAUAUUCAACAAACUAACAUUUCCCUUCAUCAUCUCCGAUGAUAAGACCUCCAAAGAACUAACUUUAAAAUUAACUUUAGAGAUCAACCCAACCUGGCUGAGGCUGCCCAACCAACAUUCAAACAAAGCAAAAAAUAUUAAGAUCAUCCCUGGAGUGGAAAGGUUCAAGUUGAAGGUGAAUUUGACAUACAUUACAUACACAGCUCAAAAUACUUGAAUAAUGCCUACAAAACAUAGAUAACAACUAGAGGUUGUUGUGUUAUUAUCUUUAUUUCUGGCUCUUCUUUUUCCACAAGUCUCCAAACAUUUUAAUGCCAGAGCCCUUCCUUUUUCCACUUCCAAAACCAUCACCCAAGUCAUCAGAUAUUCCUGGUGAUCCCAGCAAACCAGUGUACCCACCACCGCCGCCAGUGGUUCCAAACACACCACUAAAGUGCUUAUCCAUGGAGCCACACCUCUCGGUAAUCCUACCAUUCAUCUCCACUGCUCCAGCAAGCACUGCUGCUGCUGCAUCUGCUGCUUUUCUCCACUGCUCUGUCUGCACUCUCAUCUUCUUUAUCUCUGCUUCCAUCGUUGCCUUUGCUCCUUCCGCAGAUUCCAGCUUCUCUUUUAAAUGAGCUUCAUUUGCUUUGCUUUGUUCCAGCUCUUCUCCAAGUUGACUUAAUCUCAUGGACAUUUCCUCUUCCUUUGCCUUAGCAGAUGAAAUAUUUGAAGUUGCUCCAUUUAGUAGAUUCUUCAAAUUUUCAUUCUCUUUAACAAAUGCCUCCAAUUCAUUUUGUUUCUUUUCUAAUUUGGCUUUCAGCAUAUUUAUCUCAUCGUCUUUUAGAGCCAAGUCAUUGAAUGAUGGCUUUACAGGCUCUGAAAUUGAUAGCGUCUCAGUUAUAAUUUUAGUUGCGCCGUUCCCCUUUUCUUCAUGAUCAAGCAGGUGGCCAGGUUCAACCUUGGUGUCAGCAGCCUCUUUUUCAAAUGGAACUUCAAAAACAUCAGUUUCCUGCUGAUUGUUUGCAUCUAUAACAUUGUCAUCUGCCUUCUCAGAAUCCUGAAUCUCCGCUGGAGGAUGCUUCUCUUGAAUUUCAUCAGGCUCUAGAAUAGUCGGUUUCUUUGUUUUGUUUUCUAAUUCUUGUUGAGCUUCUUGCUUUGCAGCUUCAGCAGAAGCCAACUGACCUUUCAGAAUCUUCAGCUCUUCUUGUGCUUGACCAAGUUGAGAUUCUAAAUCUGCAAUACGAGUUCCUAGUUUCUUUUGGUUCAGUGAGUCAGAAGGGGGACCUCGUGGGGAGCGACGAUCUCCCAGCUUGGGGCUUCGCUCAGUAAUUGGUCGAUGAUUCAGUGGGUCAGACUCAGAACUAGAUGUCCUAAGUGGAUGGGGAGCUCGAGGUGACUGCCUUUGAGGCAUUUCUAAACCUCUGUUCAUAUGCAAACACAAACUGUUACAUAAUCAUGCAGAUAUUAAUGUAAUUUGACGCAUACUUUUCCCUUUGUAAACUAAUGGAGUCUUAACUAAAUACAGAGAAGAAUAAGCCAGUGAGUGAUGAAAGAUGAAACAAAUGUCCUAAGGGAUUUCAAAUCCCCAUUAAAACAUCUAUGCAUGUGAUACGAUCAGGCACAAACAUCUACAAGUAUCUCAAAUAUGAUCUGAUUUCAUGCUCAACACAAGUGCAAAAGAAAUUAGGCUUUUCUGUGUUCAUCCCACAAGUGCUUAGUAUUGUUGGGGUCUAUUACCCAUGCAACUGAUCCAACAAUAUUGAUUUAUUGAAGUGCUGAAUCCUAAACAAAAACUACUGUAAAUUGCAACUACAGAAUAACAAGCAAUGUUAGUCUUGACAAGAAAGAGGAAUGCAGGGAACAGCAAAAUAGUAUGUGGCAAAGAAAUCAAGGCAAAAUCCAAUUCUUUUGCCCAGAGUAAAAUGCUGUAGAAUUAAGCAUAAGCAUUCUUCACCAAUUAGCAACUCCGAAUAGGCAUCCAUCUUUAAUAACAGUGGUCACAGUGUGCAUACAUGUCAGCAUUUGCCCAACUUUUCCCAGAGAGAACUACAUAUUGGUAAAAAUUUGGGUUUACUUACCUUGAUCUUGGCAUUUUAUCAGCUUCAGAAAUAUUGGUUGGAGAACAGCAAGGAUUGCGUUAGAGAAUUGUUCUCUGAUGAAUCUAAUAAGCAAACAAAAGGGAAAAUAAUGUAAAAAGAAGAAAAAAAGAGAGGUUAAAAUGAAGCUUAUUAAUAAACUAUCAAUAUAAAGAAACUGGAAAAAAAAAAUCCAUAAUAAUAAAUUCAUUUAUAUCCCAGCCAAACGUUCUUGCCUGCAAUGCCAAGAACAUCAACUUAAGCUUCUAGUUUGAUGCAAAAGUUUAAAGCAUAUGUUGUAGACUUGUGAAAUGAAAUAGAACACAACUUCUUAUUUCACUGAACUGAGAGAAUGAGAUGCAAGUAAAGCAAAAAUGUCAAGAAAGCAGUAUUAUUUAGUUCAUUUUUACAGUGGAACACAAACAAAAUCAAAUGAUUCCUCAUUUGUAUCGCCCCCUUAAGAAGCCAACUCUUGUAGGAGUCACUAUCACGUUUUAAUGCAGAUGCUCAAUAGGCUGAGUAUAAUGAAGAGUAAAAUGAAGAAAACAGGAAUUCCAUGCAUACCCCACAAUACUCAUUUGGCCUGGACAAGUCAUGUGUACAAUUUAUACCAAAUGGAGCCAUCAUAUUCAAAAUCUGACAUAACAAGUCAAGAAAUGUAAAUCUAGGAAAUGCCGUACAAUGUCUUGUGACAUAAUGCAUUUCAAUGAGAUUCUGGAUUUUACAAACGAUUAUGAAAUUCCUGCACAGACACACAGAAAAUCACCCUUUUGAAAAGCCAAUGCCUUCUCUCUUGUUUCUUACCAUCUCUCCAUGAUUAGCAGAGGAAUGAUCAGAUUGUAUAGUAAUGGUGCCUACCUGUGCUAUAAUACAUGGCUAACAUAUAGUGAAUAUGCAUUUGAAACCAAAGCAUGCGGCAAUGGAUCUUUUAACUUUCAGAGUGUGAAGACAAUUUCUCCCAAAUUUCAAGUUGGUGAGUUGAAAGGGUAUUUGCGUCAUUUCAAUCAAGCUUUUACUGACAAGUGAGGAGCCACAAAGUAAUGUGCGAGCAGAAGCGUGAAAAAAGUGACAGUGGAAUGUCUUCAAACCAGAAUCCGGCCAAAAAUAAAUUAAAUGAUUAACCAGUAGAAGAGAUAUACCACACGCUCCGCCGUCACGUGUGCAUCGGUUCAUGUAAUACAAGACAAACCAAUUUUGAAAAAUUUUUCUUUCUGCUUGUGGAAACCUCCAUUUCAAAAUAUAAAGUAAAGACAAAAGAAAACAGAUAGAUCUGAAAAAUGUUGCAUAUUAUACUAAGAAAACUAAAAGAAUGCGUUUGGUUGCUGAGAAAAUUAAUCAAAAGGAGGAGGGGGUGAGCCUUGGACCACAACUGGAAUUUCACAUUUACAAUGGUGGAUUGGUGUUUGAAAUCUAUUUUCUCGACAACCAAACAGAUGACACUGCUCAAGAAAACGAAGAAAGCAAGAAACUUUUAUUUCCACAUUAACCAUGAGCAGAUAUCUACAGUCCAAAACGUUGGUAUUGGCAAAAAGAAGAAGAUGCAAAAAGGUGAAAAACUCACCGGAGAAUAUAAAUGCACAAGUAGUAGAUACUUGAAAAGUUAGGUUGUGGUGAAGAUUGUGAGAAUGAAAAUCUCCAUUAAAGAAGAUUAUCAUUUUCCAUGAAAGAGAAGGAGAGCCAUUUGUAAAUAUGUUAAGACGCUAAAGCUUCUUGAAAGACAAUAAAAGCACAAAGCUUGAGAAAGAGCGUCAGAAGUUUGAAUUAAAGCUGGGCAAGAGCAAAAGAAAGAUGACAAAAUGGUAAUUUUAACGAGAUCACCAGCUACCCCACCAUUAAUGCACCUUUAGAUUAUGAUAUUUUUCAAUCUGGGAAAUCCAACCUCUGUUUACAAUUGUGUCUAAUGAAUUUAUAAAUUUAAAUUUGAAUAUUUAAUUUAAUAAUUAUUUGAUUUGUUUUCAUAUGAUGUUAAAUUUAUAAGAGCAAUAUUGUAAUGAAUUUUACUAAAUCAAAUAUUAUAUAUAUAUAUAUAUAUAUAUAAACAUAGAUAUUUAAUUUUUUAAAAAAUAAUUUAAUUAAAAAAAUAUUUAGUGUUGAUUAAUUUUGCUAGAUGUCUUAUAAGAUAGAAAUCAAACAUAUAUGAGGUUUAAAUAUGGGAUAAAAUUACAAUUCUGCAUAUAUAAAAUUAAAAAUAUAUAUAUAUAUAUAUAUUUUUUUUUUUAAAGCAAUUUGAGGGCGUAAGGGCAAGUUGCUCUCUGCUGGAUCCAUCCCUGAAUAGAACUGUAGAAGAAGAUGAUAAACAAUGUCUUGCAAUUUGCAAAUAGACGUUGAGCUGAACAAUAAAUUGAAAUUUGAUCUGAGAGCAUUCAGUUAGAUCAAAUAUGAAAGGAAUAGCCUUUUCACCCACAAACUAUCAUUGCUGCUUCAAAAAUCAUCACAACACAUCUAGAAGAUCGUCAAUAAGCACAAACCCAAUUCAAUUCAACGACAACCAAAACCAAAAUCAAAACCCAUCAAUCAAAACACGCCCAUUCCCUUCACUUGUCCUUAAAUCCUCCAAAAACCCUAUAACACCAGUUAAUCCGGAGUCCAACAACCCACCGCUUGUCGUUGUUGGCUCAGCCAAUGCUGACAUCUAUGUCGAAAUUGAGAGAUUGCCCACCGAAGGAGAGACCAUCUCAGCCAAGAGUGGGCAGACACUUGCAGGUGGGAAGGGAGCUAAUCAAGCAGCUUGUGGUGGCAAACUCUCCUACCCAACGUACUUCGUGGGUCAGGUGGGAGAGGAUGCACAUGGGAAGUUGAUCAUUGAGGCGUUGAGAAAUGGAGGAGUUUGUCUUGAUUAUGUAAGGCAUGUUGGUGAUGUGCCUACUGGGCAUGCUGUGGUGAUGCUUCAGUCUGAUGGGCAGAAUUCUAUUAUCAUUGUUGGUGGAGCCAACAUGAGUCGUUGGCCUGAGAAAUUGAGCGAUGAAGAUUUGGUGGUAAUAAGGAAUGCUGGCAUCCUUUUGCUUCAAAGGGAGAUCCCUGAUUCCGUCAAUAUCCAAGUUGCCAAGGUCAGGCUGGCCAUAGAUACAUAUUUGAAUUGUUUUUGUCAAUUCUUCUUGCUUUAUCUUCAACCAUGUUUGUGUUAAUUUGUUUUCAGAAGUUUGAUGUAUUAUUCUUUCUCGGUCCAUGGUCAAAACUUGAAUAUGUCUUGCAUCGUAAUGAACAGAUUAUGAAAAUGGACCUACUAAUGCCUUUUGCUUGAAAUAUGUUAGAUUCUGGUUGAGGCUGAGGCUAACUAUGAUCUCAUCUUUGUGAAUUUGGGUUAGCUUGGGGGAGUUUGAGGAUUUAUUUUUUAUGACGUAUUAUUAGUUUCCUCAUAAGAAUAUGAUAAACUACAUUUACUUUUGAAUAAUGAUCUCUUUCUCCUUGCUCGAUGACUCUAUAAUGUCCAGAGAGAAAGAAAUAGGCAAUCCUAACCAGAAAAUUUUCACUUGAUCUACAUAGUGAGUGCAUUUUGGCAUUGUGGGCAUGUUACCAAACCACUGCAAGUCUAUACCCGAUUCAGUCAUGGACCCAAGUCAAAGCAGCCACAUAUUGAGCCUCUAAAUUAGUCAAAUAUUUCAGUUAUUUUUCAGCUAUCUUUUAGUUAAAUUGUUCCCUGUUUGUAGGAGGGUAUUCCUCCACUUUCUAUUUCAUGUUGUUAAUUGAGGAGGGCGUUCCUCCAUGUUGAAGUAGUGCUCCUUUGAUGUAGGAAGCAUUUUCUAUUUCAUGUUGUUAGUUGAGGAGGGUGUUCCUCCAUGUUGAAGUAGUGCUCCUUUAAUGUAGGAAGCAGUUAUACUUCCUUCCUUUCUGUAUUUAAGCAAUAACAUUGAUGAAGAGGGGAGCUUCCAAAAUCAAUUAAGUUCUCAGAGGUUUCAGGUUCCCUCUUUUAGAGCCUGAAUUGUUAAUGACCAGAGGUUGUAAAAAGACUCUUAACCCAAACACUCAAACUCCAGCCAUACCCUUAGCCCAUAGACCCAUAACCAGAUCCACAACUCGGGACCAUAACAGUUUGGUAUCAGAGCCGGCAGUUAUGGGGACUCUGUUCAAGAUCAACUCGCCAAGCUCUUUGAAUUGUUGUUGGCUGAGCAGCAAGCAAACAAAGACCGAAAUGAAAAAGUUGAGCAAUUGCAUACCAAAUUGGAUGCAAUGUCUCAAGAAUUGAAAUUGACUAAGAAAGGGUUGCAAUCUAGCAGCACUGACAGUCAAGCAAAAUCAAGGAAAGAUAUGGGAAUUUCAGGUGCUUUGGUUUUUGAAAGUUCGGGAGGAAUUUCGGUAGUAUCGAAAUUCACAAAGCUUGAUUUUCCUCGUUAUGAUGGGCUGGAAGACCCUUUGGGGUGGCUUGCCCGAUGCUAGCAUUUUUUUAGGCACCAACAAACACCCGAAGAGGAGAAGGUGAGUUUAGCUUCGUACCAUUUGGAGGGGAUUGCGCAGCUGUUGUAUAUGCAGCUGCUGGAUGACAUUCCAGAUCCCAAUUGGGAUGAGUUCACACAUCAGUGUAAUCUUCGUUUUGGGCCUCCAAUCCGCAGCAACAAAUUAGGCGAAUUGGCAAAGCUAAAGCAAACUGGUUCUGUUGCAGAAUAUCAGAACCGUUUCAAAGCCUUGGUGUCACGCGCUGGCACCCUCACGCAGGAACAAAAGGUUCAGUUGUACCUCAGUGGAUUGCAGGACUCUAUUGCUGUUGAGGUCGAGCUACAUCAUCCAAAAGAUUUGGUGAAUGCAAUGAGCAUCUUCCGGCUGUAUGAACGGAAACUUUUCCCAAGUUCUCCGGCUGUGAGAGACACUCGUCGCGCUGCCUUCACAUCUGCACCUCGUGCCAACAGAUUGGUGAAGUGAUUGAACCGUGAGGAGAUGGAAGAAAGACGGAAAAAGGGACUGUGUUUUAACUGUGAUGAACAGUUUGUUCGCGGCCACCAAUGUAAAAAACUUUUCUAGAUAGACUUAGAGACCGAAGAAAUAGAGGACACAAAUUCUGAUUUGGAGCUAGAACAACUAGAGAUUUCAUUGAACGCCAUCAUUGGAAUUCGAAAUCCUCAGUCCAUGCGACUACAGGGAUAUUGAAAGGGGGGACAAGUCUUAAUUCUAAUUGAUUCUGGCAACACUCACAGUUUUGUGUCUGCAGCAAAAGUCGAGGAACUUGGUGCUGAAGUAAACGGGCAGGAUGGCUUGAAAGUUAAUGUCGCCAAUGGUGAGCAACUUGACAGCCCAAGUAUAUGCAAGGGAAUCCCAAUUCUACUGGAUUUCCACUCUUUUUCCGUGGACUUAUUUGUUCUGCCACUAACCGGUUUUGAUGUGGUUUUGGGAGUUAACUGGCUUCGAACUUUGGGACCCAUUCUGUGGGAUUUUGCUAUCAUGAAAAUUUCUUUCUUUCAACAGGGAACCUUGAUCGAAUUGCAGGGCAUGACUUCAAUUUCCUAUACAAAGCAGUCUGAUCUCCACAGUUUGCUGCUUUUCCCAGAUUCUGAAAUUCAACUACAGAAAUUGUUGGCAGAAUUUGCCUCUUUAUUCAGUUCGCCAACCGGAUUACCUCCUAGCAGGGCCUGUGACCACCGUAUUCCUUUGGAACCAGGAGCAAAACCGGUGGUUGUCCGACCAUACCACUAUCCACAUGGGCAGAAGGAUGAAAUCGAAAGGCAGUGUGUGGCCAUGUUGCAACAAGGCAUAAUCCGCCCAAGCCGAUCACCAUUCUCCUCCGGUGAUCCUAGUACCAAAGGCAGACGGUUCUUGGCGUUUAUGUGUCAAUUACAGAGAAUUAAACGCCAAAACCAUUAAAGACAAAUUCCCAAUUCCUGUGAUAGAUGAGUUAUUAGAAGAACUAGGUGGUGCUAGAUACUUCACAAAGCUAGAUUUGCUCUCUGGUUAUUUUCAAGUGGGCAUGCAUGCUUUUCGGACUUAUCACGGCCACUUUGAAUUCCUAGUAAUGCCAUUUGGUUUGACCAAUGCACCUUCAACCUUCCAGGCCUUAAUGAAUGAGGUAUUUCAAUCAUAUUUGAGGAAAUUUGUUCUCGUUUUUUUUUGACGACAUCUUAGUUUUUUGUCAGUCUUAGGCAAAACACCUCCACCACCUACGACUGGUUUUUCAAUUAUUGGAUAAGAAUAAAUUAUUUCUCAAACGCUCCAAGUGCGUUUUUGGCCAGACUCAAGUUUCAUAUUUAGGUCAUAUUAUUUCUCAUCAUGGAGUCCAGGUGGAUCAGUCAAAAAUAUCAUCGGUCCUAGAUUGGCCCAAGCCCAACACAAUUCGUGGUUUGAGAUGAUUCUUAGGGCUUACAGGUUACUACCGCAAAUUUGUCCAAAACUACGGAAUCAUCGCCGCUCCACUCACAGCUAUGUUGCGGAAAAACAAUUUUCGUUGGACUGAAGAGGCUGAGACGGCAUUCGACAAAUUGAAAGAGGCAAUGACAUCAACUCCAAUCUUGGUUCUCCCUGAUUUUAAACUAACCUUUGUCAUAGAAUGUGAUGCCUCGGGUACAGGAAUCGGAGCUGUUUUGUUACACCAAAACAAACCAAUGGCAUACUUUAGCCAUUCAAUAGCAGUGCGCCAUCAGAACCUUCCGACGUAUGAAAGAGAGCUGAUCGGGUUGGUGAAGGCAAUCAAACAUUGGCAUCCUUAUAUCUGGGGUCGGGAAUUUACUGUUCGAACGGACCACUACACACUCAAAUAUCUGUUAGAGCAACGCCAUCUCUCUUUUUCUCAGCAAUACUGGGUUAGUAAACUUAUGGGCUUUUGUUUUACAGUUGAAUACAAAGCUGGAAAAUCCAAUAUAGUUGCUGACGCACUCUCUCGACGGGAUGCUGAUCAAUCUGCCAUCUUGGCAGUUUCUAUGCCCCAACUAAGCCUGUUUGACGAUAUUCAGAAAGAGCAACAUGAUUCAGAAGAAGUGUAGAAAUGAAUUGCUGCAAUUCAUACUGGAGCGGCCACUUCCAAAUGGAGUUUUAAGAAUGGUUUGCUCUUUUACAACAACAGAGUUUACCUUUCUUAUAACUCCCCAUCUAUUCAACUAGUGGUCAGUGCUCUCCAUAACCAGGGCCAUGAAGGAUACCAAAAAACCCUGUACAAAAUUACAAGGGAUUUUUUUUUGUUUGGAAUGAAGCAAUGUGUUAGAGAUUUUGUGCGCUCUUGUGAUACAUGUCAGAGGCAUAAAACAGAGACUUUGCAACCGGCGGGACUCCUUCAUCCUCUUCCCAUUCCAACGCAAGUUUGGGCUGAUAUCUCUAUUGACUUCAUCGAGGGAAUUCCAACUUCACGUGGGAAAAAUGUAUUGCUGAUAAUCGUCGACAGAUUUUCGAAGUAUGGGCAUUUUCUGGCUUUGUCUCAUCCAUAUACAGCUGUAAGUGUUGCUCGCUCUUUCUUUGACAACAUUUUUAAAUUACAUGGCUUGCUAGAAACUAUGGUCAAUGACAGAGAUGUGACAUUCACAAGUUCCUUUUGGAAAGAACUUUUCCGUUUGAGUGGUUCUAAGCAGUGUUUCAGUUCCUCUUAUCACCCACAGUCGGAUGGUCAAACGGAGGUGGUAAACCGCACCAUUGAAAUGUAUCUUCGCUGUUUCACAAGUUCUACUCCGAAUAAAUGGAUUGACUGGUUGUCCUGGGCUGAGUUCUGUUACAACACCAGCUACCAUUCCUCUCUUAAAACCACUCCUUUCGAAACGGUUUAUGGCCGUCCUCCUCCCAGAUUAUUGUCAUAUCUACCUGGUAGUUCCACCAUUGAUGUUGUCGAUACUGUUUUAAGGACAAGAGAUGAGAUGCUACUCUCACUUCGUGAAAACCUACUGCAGGCCCAGCAAAAAAUGAAGCAUAUAUAUGAUCAAUCUCAUCGUCAUUUGGAGUUUAAGGUGGGGGAUAAGGUUCUACUACGUUUACAGCCUUAUCGUCGAACUUCAGUUGCUAAAAGGAGGAAUCAGAAACUUUCGGCACGAUUCUAUGGCCCCUUUGUGAUAGUGGAACGUGUCGGUUCCAUGGCCUAUAAGUUGGAUCUUCCUGCCGAUUCAAAGCUCCAUCCAGUGUUUCAUGUUUCAAGUCUAAAACCUUAUCAUGAAGGUCAGUCUGCUCCUACACCAUUGCUGUCAUCUUUUCCGCUGCCAGAACCUGGUUAUCAUUUGGCCAUUCUAGACCACCGUAUUAAAGGAGGAAGUCAGGAGGUUCUUGUCCACUGGACUCAUUCUUCUCCUGCUGAUGCUUCAUGGGAGAAGGUGCAGGCAUUCUCCGCCAAAUAUCCAGAUUUUCAACUUGAGGACAAGCUUCCUUUGGGGGCGGGAAGUAAUGUUACCAAACCACUGCAAGUCUAUACCCGACUCAGUCAUGGACCCAAGUCAAAGCAGCCACAUAUUGAGCCUCUAAAUUAGUCAAAUAUUUCAAUUAUUUUUCAGCUAUCUUUUAGUUAAAUUGUUCCCUGUUUGUAGGAGGGUAUUCCUUCACUUUCUAUUUCAUAUUGUUAAUUGAGGAUGGUGUUCCUCCAUGUUGAAGUAGUGCUCCUCUAUUUCAUGUUGUUAGUUGAGGAGGGUGUUCCUCCAUAUUGAAGUAGUGCUCCUUUAAUGUAGGGAGCAGUUAUACUUCCUUUCUGUAUUUAAGCAAUAACAUUAAUGAAGAGGGGAGCUUCCAAAAUCAAUUAAGUCUUGAGCGCUUUAAGUCUCAGAGGUUUCAGGUUCCCUCUUUUAGAGCCUGAAUUGUUAAUAAUCAGAGGUCGUAAAAAGACUCUUAACCCAAACACUCAAAUUCCAGCCAUACCCUUAGUCCACAGACCCAUAACCAGAUCCACAACUUGGGACCAUAACAGGGCAGUAUAAAUAAUCAAAAGAAAUGAAGACUGAUGCUGGAUCAGUUCUAAGAAUCCAGAAUAAGGUAGCUGAGCAGUGCUGUGACACUCUGAUAUGGUUGUGCAGUGUCGUUUGGCAGCUACUGCCACUGUAGCAUGGCAAUGUCCAUGAUUUUUUCUUUCUUCUCUUCUAUUUGAAUUAAAUUAGUCCCACAAUAGGCGGAACUUGUGGAACAGAGCCUGCCAAGUCCAGAGUGGGCACUAUUCCUGCUUCAGCUUCAUUGUUAAGUAACUGGCCUAGAAACAUUGAUGAUUGUUUAUCAUAAAUGAUUGCCAUGAUAUAUUUCUUUGCUGUGGGCACUUGAUUGUUUUUAAGAUGGUAAUGUAGAACCUUAGUGUAAAUAAGGCAAGAGGGGAGAGGCGAGGGCCUUUUUGAAGCUAGGUGCCAUAGUCUAUAUGUAUAAUAGGUGUCUGUGUGUAUAUGCUUUUAACAUUACGAAAAAUAAAAACAACCAUCUUAAAAAAGCAAUAAACAAAGAAAAAAGAAAUAAAAUGAAAAUUUGGUGUUUAAAACAAAAAAAAAAAAGAGGACUUAUUUCUCUGGGGCAUUGCUUCUGAAGUCUCUUGCCUGGCACCUUACUGCACUGAGGCAUUGCCUCUUUGAAUCCUGGCACGCUCCUUGCCUCACCUCCCAUGGUGCCUUGGAGUGCCUUUAACAACACUGGUAUAGCUAUUCAACCAUUAUUUCUGUUCUGCAGUCCAGUAGUCAAUACUUUGUCAUCUAAUAGAAAAUCAGUAUCUUUCUUCAUUGUCAUAUUUGUAUAUAGGAUAAUUGAAUUGUAUAGAGGCUUUAGGGAUUGCUUAGAAAUUCUGUGGUUCAAGGAUCCUUAAUGUUUCCUCUACUAAUGAGCUUUGAUGGUUAUCCCUUUUAUCAUCAAUGCUGAAGUGAUGAUGGGAUAUUUAAGUUUCUCUUACAUUUCUCCUAUUUUCCUUUAAUAAUUUCUUUCACAUUUUGAUGCUGCCAUGUAUCUGUGUAGGCUGCAAAGAGUGCUGGUGUUCCUGUCAUUUUCGAUGCUGGGGGAAUGGAUGCACCUAUACCCUUGGAACUGUUGAAGGUUGUGGACAUCUUCAGCCCAAAUGAAAGUGAACUAGCGCGUAUAACUGGCAUGCCUACUGAAAACUUUGAACAGAUUAGUCAGGCUGUUACUAAGUGUCAUGAAAUGGUUAGUAUGCACCACUUAAACAAGCUUUAUCCUAUGAAUCUUUGUUCUGUACUUAGCAUGGUUGAUCUUUCUACACUUUGAAGAUUUGACAAAAACACUUUUACCGGUUAUGUUUUGUUGUAAUGAUAACUUAUUUGCUGCAUUAUGCUGGUUAAAGUUUAUGAUUCUUGUGAAUUAUGCAAAUCUGAUUGUCCACUGAUUUUUUAUAUGUAUCCACAUAAUGGUCAUUAUUGAAGUGCCAUCAAGCCAGAGCCCACAAGUUCAGAUGCUUCGUGUACUGGGUUACCCUUUAUAUUGUUAUUUGCCAUGAAUGCUCUCAUUUCCAUCCACUUCCAAUAUCAGAUUACAGGUUGAUUCUUCCAUGUGAAACACUAAUAGGGUCAUUCAAUUUCACAGAUGCCUGAAUAUACUAGAGCAGUUGGGUAAGAAUUAAGAUCCUAUGAAGUUUCAGUAUGUAAUUAUUUCAUAAUGUACAUAAGUUGCACGUGAGUUAUUAGAUCAACUAGUGAACUUAUUAUAUGGCGUGGAAUUAAAUAUUGCUAAAGUUUCUUUGCUCUAAUUUUUCCUUCUCCAACAAAAUGUUUUCUCUAUCAAUGAUAUCAGAUUGUAUGAGUACACUUAAGGAGGGUGUUUUGAAUUAGGAAAGAAAAUAUGAAUACAUCCUUUUUUUUUUACUAUUAAGUCUGAAAAUUCAGGUUUAUUGUGAUUAACAAAAUUGUUUGUCGGGCUGUGUGCUUGAAAGAUGCUUUUGAGCACCUAGUAAUUGGGCUUGAGCUUAAUUAGCUAGUUCUUCAUUUUCCACUUAUUGAGAGUGAGGUCCAGACAAUCCCACUCUCUCUCAUGCAUCCCACACACGCACACAGAGUUUUCUUUUUAAUUUUAAUUGGUGAUGAUCAUUUCUUUCAUCUUUAAUAUUUCGAAUGUAUGUUCCUCUCCUCAUUAUUUUGAUGUUUAAGCAUUCUUGAUAAGUGUUUUAAUUCCAAAAAUUUAGAAGUGUGCAUUAGUCGGAUUGGGUCCAAUUUUAAUAUUCAUGACAUUCUUAUAGUUGAUACUAGUUGAUGAUAAAGAGGUUAAUAGAGCAAACAGAGAGCUGCUAGAAAAUGCCAAAUGAUAAUACUUUUCUAACACAUCAUAGGUUGCUGUGUCUAAUUCAGGGGGUCGGGGAAGUCCUAGUGAAACUUGGGGCCAAAGGAUCAGCAUUAUUUGAAGAAGGCCAAAAACCAAUUAGACAACCCAUAAUACCUGCUGCAAGAGUCAUAGACACUACAGGUGCUGGAGAUACUUUUACUGCUGCUUUUGCUGUGGCUUCGGUGGAGGGCAAGACAAAAGACGAGUGCCUUAGAUUUGCUGGUAUGGCUGUUGUUCUUAGUUUGCAUGUCAUCGUGAUUCUCAUUUUUUUUUAGUAAUUAUCAUAUGCAAAAAAUAAAGGGUGGUUCACUUAAAAUUUUAUAUAGCUACAGCUGCAUUUCUACAUGACCUUUAAGAAAAGAAAAUAAAAACUGAUUUGAUUGUGACUCACUCAAACAUUAUACAGCUGCAGCAGCUUCUCUUUGUGUGCAAGUAAAGGGAGCAAUUCCUAGCAUGCCUGACCGGACAGCAGUCCUGGAUCUUCUUCAAUCUGUGAGGGCAUCCUUUUGAUGAAAUGCAGAUCAGAGCUUACUUUCUGUAGUAAUAAAAAAUGCAUUUCUGGACUCUGCCAAAAGCAAAUAGCAUAUGUUGGAACAGAGCCUCAAUGGCUAUUUGUUUUAUGCAAUUUCAAGGCAAAAAGGGAGGGGAAGAAAAAAUGCGUUUUUUCGUCAGUUUCAAAAAACUGUAAACAUAUGUGCAUUAGCAGCUCAGAAGAAUGUGCAGUUUGCUCAAACUGGUAGAUUUCAUGUUGUUGCUUCCUAAUGUGGUUUAUUUAUUUAUUUUCCUCAUUCUCCCCUCUCUAAAACAGGUGCCUAGAUUCAUUCAUUUCAACUUUCCUUUUUUUUUUUCUGUUUAAAUGGAGGAACAUGACUGGCUUCUUUCUCUAUGCUUCUUCUCUUUCUUUGAGAUCCAUGCUUCAUUUAUGUUUUGGGACAUUUUUUUCUUUUGGUCAAAGUAGAAGAUGCUAUCUACCCCAAUAGUUUUGGAUAACUUUAGUUAUUUUGCGUAACAAAGCAUCAUUUGCUUAGUAUUAAUCCAUAUUCCUGAAUUUAAAUUUUAGUACAGAUCAUUAACAUUUCAUUAGUAAUAUUGAGCUAUGAUAGAACAAUGGAAUGUGCAAAGAUUUAGAGAUUUUUGCUAUGCGCAUUAGUUAUAUGAUUUAUUAACUCAAUGACAUGCUUUUUGGUAUGAUUGAUAAAUUUCCAACCCAUUUUCAGUCAUCUUUUUUAUUAUUUCAAUAAAUUACACGUGUGUUUUUUUCCAUUGAAGGACAUGAACAGGAAAUAUAAUACCAUAAUGCAAAAAAAAAAAAAAAAAAAAAAAAAAAAAAAAAACAAAAACAAAAAGAGAAUGAAGCUAGGCCUUGUUAAAGAAUAUCUGCCCACAAGAAAGAGCGAUGUAAAGAAUAAUAUAAGCGUAAGUAAGGAGUCCAUUCCGUUCUGCCAUUGCCUUAGCUGCUGCUGCUGCUACUUCUUCCCUCUAUUGAUAUUUGUUUGUCUCUCGUCUUGAGUCGAGUGUGCUCCUGAAGUUUGAUGCAUGCUUUGCUUCAAAUAGCAUUCAAGUAGUAUUCAAAAAUACUAAUAAAUCAAAAGAAAUUAAAUAUAUAGCUUAAUGUAAUCAAAUUGAUUUUAAAAAUUAAAAGGUUGUAAAAUUUAAGUUGAUCUGUAAAUUUAAAAUAAUAACUUAAAUACAAAACAUCUAAACAUAUUAUUAGAUCAAUUGUACAAGCCAUCCAUAUUUUCAUUAAAGAAAUUCUUAAUUUUCAUUUCAAAAUUAAAGAAUUAAAAAAAAUAAAGUCUCUUUAAUUUCGAGUUUAAUCAAAUCAAAUAGUUUUAUUUUAUUUUUUUUAAUUCCAAUUAUAAAAUGGACCCAUUUUAAUCAUGGUAUGAACGUGAAAAUUUUUUAAAAAAAACGAGUGUUUAUUUAAAAUAUUUAAUAACUCCAUUUAAAAUUAAAUAGAAUUUAUAAAUAUUAUUAUAUAUCACAAUAAAAAUAUUAUUAAAUUAAUAAUAAAUAUUUAAUUUAAAAUUAAUUAUAAUUUUUUUAAAAAUAAAAUAAAAAUUAAAAAAUAAAAUAUAAAAUUUUUAUAUCUACUUGAUGAUCUGAGAUCCAAUAGAAUAGGGUUUUACAAGGGUUUUGGUAUUGAAAAAUAAUCUUUCUUUCUGGGGAGGGGACUCCCCUUUUAUCCAUUUCGCUAUGCUUGCUGGUGACGUGUAAAGGCCUCUCCAUGAUUGGGACACGCGUCUCUGACAUACAGAUUCGGGCGUACGAGGGUAUCAGCCGCCUGCUCCAUGCGUAACGGCCUCUGAUUCUCCCCGUGCGUACGCUCGAGCGGAUCUGCUAGGCUGUCUGAGUGUGGCUCUGGAUACUGGGCUGGGCCGAGAGUCGGGCCGGACGCUGAGCCUGAGAGGAGAGGGCCUGCUGGUCGCGGACUGGGCCGGUCUGAGUGAAGAAGCGUGAUUGAGCCCGGCCUUGAAGGUUGAAUGAGUCAGGCUUGUUGUGCAUAUCAGGUGCGUGGGCCUCUAUGUUAUGGGCCUUUGGUUGUGGUCAAGCCCCUGGUCCGGGGUGAAGAAAUCCAGCGGUCAUCAAUUGCCCCUUCACCUUCUCGGUAGUUAUUGCUCCCACUGCCGAGGGGGUGAAUAUCAAGAACCAUUAUGACCGCGCCUGUUCGUGUUCAGGUGCCUUAAUAACAUCCUUUCAUCUUUCUGUCGUUGUGCAGUUUCCGAAUCCUAUCUGCUCUUUCCCCCUUCUGGUUUUUCUCCAUUCUUCGCGUUCUUUGCUGUCUUUGCUUUCCUGUCAUCAUUAUCUGGACAUAUCCUUUCUUUCCUUUUCCAUGACUAUCUUUUAAAAUUCUGACACCAUUAGCUUAGAGUCUAGCAUAGCUCUGCUCCGUGCUAAGGCCUCAGGCUCCGGGUAUAUAUCAACGCUAACUUUUCUUCAUUCUCAAAUCCUCUGCUGGAACAAGAGGUUCUUCCUUUCCAUUUCUCUGUCUGCUUCUUUCCUCCAGCGAGAUUGUUCUGAUGGUUCUGUUUUAUCUGCAAAGGAUCCAUUUGACGCCUUCUUCAAAUGGAAUGAGGUGAGCUUGAGUUUGUAUUGCUUUGUUGCCCCAGAGGUUUGUUUUAAUCUUGCUUUCAUCAUCUUGACGGAGAAUUGUUUCUGACUUGUCUCUGUUUUGAAACUUUUUGCAGUACCUGAGAUAAGAAUGGGUCAGUUCAAAAUUCUUGGAAAUUUGAUGUUACCUCUAAGGAGUCUGGACGAUGCUUUGGAGAUCCUUCUGGUAGGGCGGCCGAUGGGUGGGACUAUUCGGCAAGCUGCUGAGACUGUUUUACCCAGGUCGUCUGGCCGGCCUCCUCCUCUGUUUGUUGUCCGGGCUCCAAAGAGGUUCUGGGCUGUUGGGGAGUUUGCUCUAACUUUGCCGUCCCUCAAGAAAGAAAUUUCUCCGAUGCCCCUGUUAUCUUCUUUUGAUAUAAAUGGAAGUGGCGAGAAAGAUCAGCUUAUUGUUUCCUUCAGUGUGGGGUGCUUACGUUAUGAGGGACUGAGAUCAGCUGCGCUCAGUCAAGUCUCCAGCGAUUUCUUCGAAUGUAUGCUUUGUGAUCUCUUCGGUGUCGUAACUCGAAGACUUAUGUUUUUCAUGUGUGGUGCACGGCCGGCAUAUAAUAUCUGAACUUGUCCGAAUGUAUCGUGCAUCACACUUGGGUAACCGAACGUUUGCCUAGGGGAACAGUGAGAAAUGCUUAUGGGAAUCAACUUGUUCAGUUCCCUUAUAAUAACGAGACAGAGCUCAGCCGACCUGUAGAGCUCGCUUUCCGUACUAGGAUAGUCCCCGGAAUUAAGACUAAGAUAGUAGGGCAGAUGUCAGUGAUGUAAACGUAGAUGAUGAUGUAUGUGGUUAUGUAAAUCCUUUAAGGAUAGUCUUUCAUCCCGUAGUGUAGGCCUUUGUAACGUGCUGUAAUGUACUUUUUUUUUAAUGAAAUUCUUGUUUUUUACUCAUACUUGUUCAUUCUCUAUCAUGGAUGAAGUACUGAUACUGCUUUUCUUCGUAGCUUUAGCCAACUAAAUUUUGUUUCGUUUUUUCCGAGCUGAACUGACCAUAUUUCGUGAACUCUUGCUUUUAGUCGAUGAGCCGAGCUCCGGGCCUACUUAACCAACUGGACGGUCGGUUUACUUUUCUGAGCUUGACUAACCGACCUGUGAGCUCGGUCUUUACUUGAUGAAUUGAGCUUUGAGCCUCCUUUAGCCGACCGAGCUCUCAAGUUAUGUUUUCCGAGCUGGACUAAUCCGACCUGUGAGCUCGGUCUUUUAAUCCUUGAGUUGAUUUCUGAGUUCUCAGCUCUGUAUGAUUCCGAGGUGCCCUUGUCGCCUCUUUCCGAUCUCGCAGCCUUUGUUCAAUAACGAUAAAUCAAAUCUUAUAACUUUUUAAGUGAUGAGCAAGUCUGACCUUUAUCAUGCUCCCAUUUGCUUGUACUUUUGAGUCUUUUCUUGACUUGCCCCUCUGUUUCCUUGGUAUCUACCAUGGAGGUGGUGAAUUUUGCAGGUUGAGUUGUUCCUGCGGGCUAAGUUGCUCUGACUGGCGAGUUGGGCUUGUAUUAUGUAGGUGGCAAAUGGGCUUUUGAUUGAUGGGUUGUAAUCACGGAUCUGGCCCUUGACGGAUGUGGAGAAGCCCAGCGAUCAUCUUUUUGCCCCUUUACCUUCUCACCGGUUAUUUAUCUACCCGUUGAGAGGGUAAACUUCGAGAGUAAUUAAUGAUCGCGCCGCUCCAAGACAAAACUGUUCAGAUCAACGUUCCGUCUCAUUAUUGCCUGUCAUCUCGAAUCCCUUCUGUCUUCUGAAGAAACUAGCUCUUUUCUGCUCUCUGUCUUCCUGCAACUCCUUCCGCAUUUUUCACCCCAUUGUGUUCUCAGGUACGCUUCCUUGUUCUUCCAUGGCAAGUUCAAAGCUUCCUGAUGUUGGUAACCUUGAGUCGCAUAUUACACCUUCCAAUAUAACUAAGUAUAUUUCCCAGAGACUUUUAGAUGCUCCGUUGUAUUUCAUUCGAGCACCUCUUUCAAAUGAAAGGAUAGUCCUUCCUUACCCUCCCCCUCCGGGUUUGAUGGAUCCCCAAGAGGGUCGUCGUAUAGUGUUUUUCUUGAAGCAGAGAGAAUUCGGUCUGCCGUUUCCUUUUACCCCUUUCUUUAUUGAGGUCUUUGAAUACUUCGGGGUAACUCCUCGGAUGUUAUCCCCAAACUCCAUUUUGUUCAUGUCCUGUUUUGAGUCUAUCUGCCUGAGUUGGGGUUUUACACCCACGGCCUGUCUGUUUGUCACUUUUUUCCGUCUGGUUAGGGCGGUUCAAAAUUUCUAUUAUUUUUCCCCCCGUAGUGGGUUAUCUCUUUUCACGGGGUACAAGGACUCCAUAAAGGGAUGGGUGGAGAACUUCCUUGUGGCGGAGUUAAAAUUAGGGUCCGCCAGAACGUGGGAGGUGGAUCUAAGUUGGGGGGAGAUCUUUCCGGGUUGCAAUGAGCUGCCCCAAUUGAGUCUUAUUGAGCAGGUCGGGCUGCUUCGACUGACUUCCGUUGAGAGGAAGUAUGACAUCGAGAAGUGUAUGUUCGCGUCCAAUCUUAGGGAUAUCCGGGACACGGGUAUAAUGCCUUGUCCGACUAUUCUGUUUCUUCUUUGCUCAUAAUAUCGGAAAGUAUGCUGAUUCUUUAUAAUUUCGUUUCUUUUGCAGCUUCUGAGGUAAAGAUGGAUGACAUCAAGUUCUCCAAGAACUUUGUCCUGUCUCGGGAUAAUAUGCAUGCCAUUUUUGACGCCUUUGGGGAUGGGCGUUCAGUGACUGAGAUUGCUGCGGAGAUGGUUCAAGCUGCUUCCUCCAAGAAGGUUAGCCGACCUCCCGCCAAAGCUUCUUCUAGAACUUCGAAGCCGAGCUCUCGCAGCUUCAAGUCAUCUCGGUUGUCUAGCCGGGGUGGAUCGAGCUCGUCUUCGAAGCCUGCUGAGGGGUCUAGAUCUGCUCCAGCUUCCUCAGAGGUCGUGAGGGAAGCCUCCCUAGCUAUUGUGGAGCAGACCCAAGGUUCUGAUCAAGUGGAGCAGGGUAUUGCCCAUUCUCCUGGAGGGGUGUCAGGGGGAAAAUCUAAGUCCCCUGCUACUGAAGACAAAGAGGCCUCUGGGACAGGGAUGGAGAUCAUCCUCCUAGAUGACCAAAUCUCAGAGGUUUCUGCUCAAGAUGCCCCUGCCUCGUGAGGACUGGGCCUGAGGGAUCUGAGGGCGUUCCACCAAAGACCGGGGAUAAGCGCCCAGCCCCAUCCGGAACAUCUGCCCCAUCUCCAGCUCGGAAAAAAUCCAGGGCUGCCACAGGACCUUCUCCAGCUCUUCCUCCCCUUGGGAAGGAGAAAGGUGUUCCUGCUGUGCCUUCAUUGUCUCCUUCCGGCAACGUUCUGAACACAUCGGACAUUACCUCCGAGUCUCCGGCCAGUGCUGUCGCCGAACUUCUCAGAGAGCGAAUGUUCGACGGAAUUACAGAGGCUUCGGAUCCUCGUCUUCUUGCCCUGACUGGUCUUUUAGCCAGUUCUACCAAGGAGCAAGUGUCCUUCCGAUCUCGCUCUCGUGAGGANNNNNNNNNNNNNNNNNNNNNNNNNNNNNNNNNNNNNNNNNNNNNNNNNNNNNNNNNNNNNNNNNNNNNNNNNNNNNNNNNNNNNNNNNNNNNNNNNNNNNNNNNNNNNNNNNNNNNNNNNNNNNNNNNNNNNNNNNNNNNNNNNNNNNNNNNNNNNNNNNNNNNNNNNNNNNNNNNNNNNNNNNNNNNNNNNNNNNNNNNNNNNNNNNNNNNNNNNNNNNNNNNNNNNNNNNNNNNNNNNNNNNNNNNNNNNNNNNNNNNNNNNNNNNNNNNNNNNNNNNNNNNNNNNNNNNNNNNNNNNNNNNNNNNNNNNNNNNNNNNNNNNNNNNNNNNNNNNNNNNNNNNNNNNNNNNNNNNNNNNNNNNNNNNNNNNNNNNNNNNNNNNNNNNNNNNNNNNNNNNNNNNNNNNNNNNNNNNNNNNNNNNNNNNNNNNNNNNNNNNNNNNNNNNNNNNNNNNNNNNNNNNNNNNNNNNNNNNNNNNNNNNNNNNNNNNNNNNNNNNNNNNNNNNNNNNNNNNNNNNNNNNNNNNNNNNNNNNNNNNNNNNNNNNNNNNNNNNNNNNNNNNNNNNNNNNNNNNNNNNNNNNNNNNNNNNNNNNNNNNNNNNNNNNNNNNNNNNNNNNNNNNNNNNNNNNNNNNNNNNNNNNNNNNNNNNNNNNNNNNNNNNNNNNNNNNNNNNNNNNNNNNNNNNNNNNNNNNNNNNNNNNNNNNNNNNNNNNNNNNNNNNNNNNNNNNNNNNNNNNNNNNNNNNNNNNNNNNNNNNNNNNNNNNNNNNNNNNNNNNNNNNNNNNNNNNNNNNNNNNNNNNNNNNNNNNNNNNNNNNNNNNNNNNNNNNNNNNNNNNNNNNNNNNNNNNNNNNNNNNNNNNNNNNNNNNNNNNNNNNNNNNNNNNNNNNNNNNNNNNNNNNNNNNNNNNNNNNNNNNNNNNNNNNNNNNNNNNNNNNNNNNNNNNNNNNNNNNNNNNNNNNNNNNNNNNNNNNNNNNNNNNNNNNNNNNNNNNNNNNNNNNNNNNNNNNNNNNNNNNNNNNNNNNNNNNNNNNNNNNNNNNNNNNNNNNNNNNNNNNNNNNNNNNNNNNNNNNNNNNNNNNNNNNNNNNNNNNNNNNNNNNNNNNNNNNNNNNNNNNNNNNNNNNNNNNNNNNNNNNNNNNNNNNNNNNNNNNNNNNNNNNNNNNNNNNNNNNNNNNNNNNNNNNNNNNNNNNNNNNNNNNNNNNNNNNNNNNNNNNNNNNNNNNNNNNNNNNNNNNNNNNNNNNNNNNNNNNNNNNNNNNNNNNNNNNNNNNNNNNNNNNNNNNNNNNNNNNNNNNNNNNNNNNNNNNNNNNNNNNNNNNNNNNNNNNNNNNNNNNNNNNNNNNNNNNNNNNNNNNNNNNNNNNNNNNNNNNNNNNNNNNNNNNNNNNNNNNNNNNNNNNNNNNNNNNNNNNNNNNNNNNNNNNNNNNNNNNNNNNNNNNNNNNNNNNNNNNNNNNNNNNNNNNNNNNNNNNNNNNNNNNNNNNNNNNNNNNNNNNNNNNNNNNNNNNNNNNNNNNNNNNNNNNNNNNNNNNNNNNNNNNNNNNNNNNNNNNNNNNNNNNNNNNNNNNNNNNNNNNNNNNNNNNNNNNNNNNNNNNNNNNNNNNNNNNNNNNNNNNNNNNNNNNNNNNNNNNNNNNNNNNNNNNNNNNNNNNNNNNNNNNNNNNNNNNNNNNNNNNNNNNNNNNNNNNNNNNNNNNNNNNNNNNNNNNNNNNNNNNNNNNNNNNNNNNNNNNNNNNNNNNNNNNNNNNNNNNNNNNNNNNNNNNNNNNNNNNNNNNNNNNNNNNNNNNNNNNNNNNNNNNNNNNNNNNNNNNNNNNNNNNNNNNNNNNNNNNNNNNNNNNNNNNNNNNNNNNNNNNNNNNNNNNNNNNNNNNNNNNNNNNNNNNNNNNNNNNNNNNNNNNNNNNNNNNNNNNNNNNNNNNNNNNNNNNNNNNNNNNNNNNNNNNNNNNNNNNNNNNNNNNNNNNNNNNNNNNNNNNNNNNNNNNNNNNNNNNNNNNNNNNNNNNNNNNNNNNNNNNNNNNNNNNNNNNNNNNNNNNNNNNNNNNNNNNNNNNNNNNNNNNNNNNNNNNNNNNNNNNNNNNNNNNNNNNNNNNNNNNNNNNNNNNNNNNNNNNNNNNNNNNNNNNNNNNNNNNNNNNNNNNNNNNNNNNNNNNNNNNNNNNNNNNNNNNNNNNNNNNNNNNNNNNNNNNNNNNNNNNNNNNNNNNNNNNNNNNNNNNNNNNNNNNNNNNNNNNNNNNNNNNNNNNNNNNNNNNNNNNNNNNNNNNNNNNNNNNNNNNNNNNNNNNNNNNNNNNNNNNNNNNNNNNNNNNNNNNNNNNNNNNNNNNNNNNNNNNNNNNNNNNNNNNNNNNNNNNNNNNNNNNNNNNNNNNNNNNNNNNNNNNNNNNNNNNNNNNNNNNNNNNNNNNNNNNNNNNNNNNNNNNNNNNNNNNNNNNNNNNNNNNNNNNNNNNNNNNNNNNNNNNNNNNNNNNNNNNNNNNNNNNNNNNNNNNNNNNNNNNNNNNNNNNNNNNNNNNNNNNNNNNNNNNNNNNNNNNNNNNNNNNNNNNNNNNNNNNNNNNNNNNNNNNNNNNNNNNNNNNNNNNNNNNNNNNNNNNNNNNNNNNNNNNNNNNNNNNNNNNNNNNNNNNNNNNNNNNNNNNNNNNNNNNNNNNNNNNNNNNNNNNNNNNNNNNNNNNNNNNNNNNNNNNNNNNNNNNNNNNNNNNNNNNNNAUCCUCACCGGCCGUUCCGGGGUGACCUCGGAGCCCCGCCGGCAGUUUUUUGUUUUGUUUUUCCGGGAGUUCUAGGGGAUCCCGGUCUUCAUGCUCCGGGAGGCAUCUUUAAGAUCCUCACUGGCCGUUCCGGGGUGACCUCGGGGCCCCGCCGGCAGUUUUUUGUGUCUUCUUGAGGUGUUUGCACAAGAUUCAGGCUCAUUGGCCUUAUUGUCGCUUCGUCAUCUCAGCUGGUUUUGUGCCUAACUGAGGUCUUGUUUCAAGAGAUCUUUCUGAGCCCUGUUCUUUCUUUUUCAUGGAGGAAUGUUAACUUUUUAUUUACUCAUUUUUGUCCAAAUACAAUGUUUUUCUUUACAAAUAUUUCAAGGGAAAUACCUUUCUAGGUGCUGGAUGUUCCAAGCGUGGGGCUCGGGGUUUCCUUGCAUAUCUUCGAUUCGGUAUACCCCUGGCCUGACCACUUUUGUCACCUUGAAAGGACCUUCCCAGGUCGGUGCUAACUUGCCCGCGGCCACUCUUUUUCCUGUAGCUUCCAGGUUUCUUAAGGUCAGGUCUCCCACUUUUAAGCUUCUUUCUCUGACCUUUUGGUUGUAAUAUCUCGCUGCUCGUUGUUGAUAAGCGGCAGUUCGGACUUGGGCUUCUUCCCUGAUUUCCUCAAGAGCAUCCAGGUUGCUUCUUAAUUUAUCCUCAUUAGUAUUCUCACUAACGAAUUGGACUCGAUGAGUGGGGAUCUGCAAUUCAACUGGGACUACGGCUUCUGUGCCAUAAGCAAGUGCAAACGGUGUUUCUUUAGUGGGCGCUCUGGGAGUGGUUCGGAGUGCCCAUAGUAUGCUAUUGAGUUCUUCUGCCCAAUUCUCCUUUGCGCCAUCCAGCCGUUUCUUUAAUCCUUGAAGGAUAGCUCUGUUAGUGACUUCUGUUUGGCCAUUAGUCUGAGGAUGAGCCACGGAGGAGAACUUAUGCCAUAUGCCCAUGUUCGUCGUGAAGGCUCUGAAAGUGCUGCAGUCAAAUUGUCUGCCGUUGUCUGAGAUAAGUACUCUAGGUAUGCCAAAUCUGCAAAUGAUAUGUCCCCAUACGAAAUCUAUCAUCUUGCGAGCUGUGAUUGUGGCUAUUGCUUCUGCCUCUGGCCAUUUCGAGAAGUAUUCCACAGCCACCACCACGAAUUUCCUUUGCCCCGUAGUCUUGGGGAAAGGUCCCAGGAUGUCGAUUCCCCAUUGUGAGAAAGGCCAUGGACUGGAUAUGCUUGCUUGAGGAGUGGCAGGGGUUCUGAUGGCGUUAGCAAAUCUCUGACAUACGUCGCACCUCCGGACAAACUCUUCUGCUUCUUUUUUAACAGUGGGCCAGUAGUACCCUUGCCUAAAUAUUUUGUUGGCUAAUGUCCCUGCUCCCUCGUGAGCCCCACAUAUGCCUCUAUGUAUUUCCUCCAUUACCUUUGCAGCUUCUUCCGGACUCACACACCGGAGCCAUGGGCUGGACUUCCCUUUUCUGUAUAAGGUUCCCCUUAUUGCUUGGUAGUUGGCAGCACGAGCUGCUAUCUUUCUGGCUUCAUCUUUAUCUUCGGGGAGCUCACCCUCCUCCAAGUAUCUCAGGUAUGGGGUCAUCCAAGUUGGGCUCUGUUCUACCUGCAAUACCGUGUUUGUCUUUUUAAAAGCAGGUGUACAGACAUGCUGUAUAUAUACUUCAUCGGGAAGCUGUUCUAACUCCUCUUUGGUCAACCGACUAAGCAGGUCUGCUUCCUCAUUUUCAUCCCGAGGUAUUCUUUGAAAUCUGACGAUGACUCCCCGACCCGUGAGCUCGGCUUCUACAGUUUUUACUUUAUCAAGAUAGUUCUGCAUGAUGGGGUCCCUAGCCUGAUAUACUCCCGUCACCUGGUUGAUCACCAACUGAGAGUCGCUAUUCACCUCGAGGUCGGUUACCCCUACCUCCGAAGCACUCUUGGUUCAGAAGACCUUGUUUGCAUCUGCUCCUGAUAAGGGGAAGGUUUCCAACUCUCCAACUGGCUCUGUCCGGGCUUCUUUUGUUUCAUCUCUGACCUCCAGAACUUCCGAGUCGAGUGCUUCUCCAGUUGAGCUCGGCUCUGUUACUGUGGCCAAGUAUACCGCCCUUGCUUCUUCCUGGCUGCCCCAGACCAUUCCUACUCCUUCUUCCGUUGGGAACUUGAGUGCCAAAUACCUGAUGCUAGUGACAGCUUCAAAGUCGAACAGCGCCGGUCUCCCCAAAAUCGCAUUGUAGCUCAGUGGGAGUUUGACCACCAAAAACACCUCAUGAUGGGUGCGAGCUCUGGGUGCUUCUCCCAAGGUAAGAGCCAGCUUCACCUUUCCUUCUACAAGUACCGGUGCUCCUCCGAUCCCCUUGAUUGGUGACUGGUCCCGAACCAGCUGUUCCUCUGGAAUUCCCAUCUGCUGAAACACUCGAUAUGGCAGCAAGUUGACUUUACUCCCAUCAUCCACUAAGACCUUCUUUACCCGAUAAUUAUGAAUGACGGCUUCAAUGACAAGCGCGUCAUCAUGGGGCAUCUGAAUACCCUGAGCAUCUUCUGAGGAGAAAGUGAUGAUCAUGGGAGAGUGGUCAACGAUUUGCAUGACUUCACUAUUGCUGGUCUCUCCUUCCCGGUUUCUCUUCUUUCCUCGACGGCUCAUCCGUCCUCCCGUUCCUCCAACAAUCAUGUGGAUGGUCCCACUAGACCCAUCAUUCACUGGUCCAGCUCCUAUUCUCCUAGGCGUCUAAGUUGUCGGACCAGGCUGAGGCCUCUGUCCCUCUGGUUUCUUCACAAAAUUUUUGAGGUGCCCCCUUUUUAUCAGCCUCUCAAUCUCCGCGAUUAACUGAAAACAGUUAUUCGUAUCGUGCCCAUGGCUCCGGUGGUACUGACAAUACUUGUCAGGAUUUCUUUGAUCUGCUUCCGACUUUAUGGGUUUAGGCCACUGGAGGAACUCCUUAUCCUGGACCGCCAUGAGCACUUCGGCUCUGGAAGCGUUGAGGGGGGUUGGUUUCUCGGGAACCCAAGGAGGGAGCACUCUUGGUUCAGGAGCCCGAGGAGGAGGAGGAGGCCUUUGAUCCCUUCUCUCCCAGGCCUGUUUGUACGGCUCAGGCCUCUUUCCAUGUUUCUUCUCGUGUCUCUCCGGUCUCCUCUCCUCCGGGGCUUUCUCUUUUCCUGCCAUCCCUUUAGCAAAUCUACUCGUCACUAAGGCGUCAUCCUGCCUUAUAUACUUCUCCGCCCUCUUCAUCAACUCAGCUAGUGAGGUCGGAGGUUUCCUGCUCAAAGAACCAAAGAACUCGGCAGAGGUUGUUCCCUUUUGCAUGGCCUCCACCGCCCUUCCUUCAUCCAGCUCGGGAAUCUGCAGGGCCUCCGUAUUGAAGCGGGCGACAUACUCUCUGAGUGAUUCACCUUCUUUCUGUUUCACUGUUUCUAGAUAGCUCGUCUUCCUAUCUGCUGGCACCCCGGCUAUGAACCGGCUGAUGAAGCGGGUGGCAAGAUCUCCAAAACUUUUAAUGCUUCCGGCCUCCAGGCUGUUGAACCACGCCCGCGCUGGUCCCGAGAGCGUUGUUGGGAACACCUUACACAUUAAGGCAUCUGACAGGGUUUGCAACUCCAUGAAGGUCUUAUAGUUCAUGACAUGCUCUCUCGGGUUACCAGCUCCAUUAUAGGCCGCCAUCGGCGGCAUCAUAAACUUCUUGGGAACGGUCUCCUGCUGCACUAUCUUUGAGAAGGGAGAAGAAGUGGGCAAGGAGGUUUGGCUCUGAUCUUUCUUACCUAGCUCGGCUAAGAGAUGCUCUUUCAACCUUUUCAGCUUUUGGUUCAUUUUCUCGUCUUCCGGGCUGGAUCCUUUGCCCCAGCUGUAUUCCUCCUCCUCCGUUUCAGUUCCCGUUUCCCUGGUUGUUCCGGCAGAAUAGUUGUCCGCCUCCUCAUUUUCUAUCAACUCUCUUGCCCUUCUCCCAUGGAUUCGGGCCUCCGAUUCUUCCUCUUCCCCGGCAUCGUGGCUGUUAGUUUGGAGGCGGUCAGAGGUAGGUCGGGGUUCAUUGGUUCUGGGUUCCUCCACUACUGGGAGUGCAUUUACUGGGGUGCUAAGGCCCCUCUGUUGCAUUAUUUGCCCCAACCAGUGAGCAGUAGUCUGUAGCUGGAGAGCCAUGGUUUGAAUGUCCUGGUUAGACAGAGUCACGGUGGGAGUAUUCCCUGCCAAGCUUGGCGAGGGAUUAAGAGGAAUAGGCGUUUGGUUAUUCAACGUUGUAGGGCUAGAAAAGGAGAACUGCUGCCCAUCUUGGGCAGAACUCAGGUCAUUUGGAAUGUUAAGGUUACUUUCUUGGUGAUUUGCCAUCGUGGAUCUCAGUGGGUUUUGAAAGUGAAAACUCCGGUGAUGAAAAGAUCUCCUUCGUUUCCCACAGACGGCGCCAAUUUGAUGAUCUGAGAUCCAAUAGAAUAGGGUUUUACAAGGGUUUUGGUAUUGAAAAAUAAUCUUUCUUUCUGGGGAGGGGCCUCCCCUUUUAUCCAUUUCGCUAUGCUUGCUGGUGACGUGUAAAGGCCUCUCCAUGAUUGGGACACGCGUCUCUGACAUACAGAUUCGGGCGUACGAGGGUAUCAGCCGCCUGCUCCAUGCGCAACGGCCUCUGAUUCUCCCCGUGCGUACGCUCGAGCGGAUUUGCUAGGCUGUCUGAGUGUGGCUCUGGAUACUGGGCUGGGCCGAGAGUCGGACCGGACGCUGAGCCUGAGAGGAGAGGGCCUACUGGUCGCGAACUGGGCCGGUCUGUGUGAAGAAGCGUGAUUGAGCCCGGCCUUGAAGGUUGAAUGAGCCAGACUUGUUGUGCAUAUCAGGUGCGUGGGCCUCUAUGUUAUGGGCCUUUGGUUGUGGUCAAGCCCCUGAUCGGGGUGAAGAAAUCCAGCGGUCAUCACUACUUAAAUAUAUUUAUUAUCAAAUUAAAUAUCUGAGCUUAAAAUUAAUCCCAGUUUAAAGUUAAAUAUAUACUUUUAAUUAAAAUAUAUUUUUUUGAAAUAUAAAAUUUAAUUAUUAUGUAUAAUAUGCUCAAUUAUUAUUAUUAUUUUUAAAUUUUUAAUAAUUCACAAUCCACAUAAAAUUAUGAGUUAAUUAAUGAGGGAGGCCGCAGAGCCAGAAAAUGAGAUAGGGAGGGGCGGAAAGGAGGAGGAAAAGUAAGAAUCCAGAGCAAGUCGCAACAAGAUCCAGAGCCAACCAAAACCCGUUUUUCAAAUUUUGGGGCUUUGGUAGGGCUGCUUCUGCAGUAUCUAAUCCAGCAGGCAAUGCCCAUAAUUUAACUUUUUCCAUUGUUGCUUUAUAAUAAUCCAUCCUUCGCGAUGCGAUUCGAGUCCGCGGCGGUCGUCGACGAGCAACGACUUCGCAACGGUUGUCGUUUUAAAUGAAGAGGGAAGUACAACAUCAUCAUCGUCUUCUUCUUCAUCAUCAUCGAAUUAUUGAUGGUGUUGAUGAAUGGGAUUUCAAUUGCAGAUGAAUUGGCAGCCAAGUUUACUGAGUCAAAAAAGGAAGAACGGUCCGCCUUUAGGGUUGAGAAAUCUUGGCAACUCUUGCUAUCUCAAUAGCGUCCUUCAGUGCCUCACUUACACACCUCCCCUCGCUAAUUUUUGUCUACGUUUACAACACUCUUCUCUCUGUAUGUUCAAUUUUUGAUAAGGAGCUUUACCCAUUUCUUUAUUUGCUUCAAUUUCAAUGCUAAUCUUCCUCCUUUUUUUUUUUGGAAGGUGAUUCGGUUUCCAACGGGGAGCGGAAGCGUGAGUGUCCUUUUUGCAUACUGGAGAAACGGAUAGUCCGUUCCCUAAGCCUGGACCUAAACCUUGAUGCCCCAGCUAAGAUCCAGAGCUGUCUCAGGAUUUUUGCUGAGCAUUUUCGGUGCGGUCGCCAAGAGGAUGCACAUGAGUUCCUGCGUUAUGUCAUUGAUGCUUGCCACAAUACCUGCUUGCGUCUCAUGAAGCUGCGGCGCAAGGGGAUUGACUCCAUUAAUGGCAGCAACACUGUUGUUAAGGAGAUAUUUGGGGGUGCUUUGCAGAGCCAGGUGAAGUGCUUGUCAUGUGAUUCUGAGUCCAAUAAGGUUGAUGAGAUUAUGGACAUUAGUCUCGAUGUUUUGCAUAGUAAUUCGCUUAGAGAAGCAAUGCAAAAGUUUUUCCAGCCUGAGAUUUUGGAUGGAAGUAAUAAGUACAGAUGUGAAAGGUAAGCAGUUCCUAUAACUAAUUCGAUACUUUUGAAUUAAUGUUGAUGGCGUGGCUUAUACAAGUAAGAGGCUUAUGCUUGUUUAGUUGUAAGAAAUUGGUGACAGCAAGGAAGCAAAUGUCAAUUCUUCAAGCACCUAAUAUCUUGGUAAUCCAACUGAAGGUGGGUCAGCUUGGUUUCUUUAGUUUUCUUGAUUGUUUGUUGCUAUUAAGCUUGCAGUUGCUCGCUGGUGUUGCUUUUUACUAAAAUGGUUAUCGAUAUAUUUGGUGGUAGCAGAGAUUUGAAGGCAUAUUUGGUGGCAAGAUUGAUAAGGCUAUUGCAUUUGAAGAGGUUCUGGUACUUUCAAACUUCAUGUGCAAAGGAAGCCAGGUAUUGGCAAUUAGAUAAAGAAGUCAUUUGGUUAUGUUGGUGUAGUCGUUGGACUAAGUUUAUUCAACUUACUAUUUAUAAAAAAAAUUAAUAUUUGCAUAAACACAUGCACAGGCAUACAUGGAAGCUACUUUGAGGUGACUUGCAUAUGCACAGAGAACCAAAAUUCAGUAGUUCAAAAUUGAGCACUGAAUGGAGAUAGUAGAAAAUUACAGUAUCUAUAUGAGCAAAAUUAAAUAUGUACUAAGAGAUAGAAAUCGGCAUAUCAUUCUUAAAAAGUGCAAUUAGAUGUAUAAUAUACAACUAUUACUGUAUUUGCAAAGAUGUAAUCUGUGACUGACUUCCUUAACCACCUUGUGCAUUUCCUUCAUGCCUCAACAAUAUGCUGCCCCUCUACCCACCUCCUCCACUUUUAUUUAACAACGUGGCUCAAGUUUCACUAUGAUAGCUUCCAAAGCUAAAAUCCAGGGAUGACUAGGCUUCUCAAACAGUUGCAAUACUUAUGGUGUAACCACGGAAUUAUAUCCAACAAAUUUUUGAAGGUUUAUGGAUGUACCCAUAGAUAAAGCUUUGCAACAACCGGUGGAGCUUGCUUGCAUGACAAUAUUCAUCCACAAAUUAUAAUAACAUUUGUAGUUGUCAAAAUCUUGUCUGAAAAGCCUGCCUAACGAUGUGAAUUGCCAUAGGAGCAAUUGAAUUAUAAGCUAUUGAUUUUCCCAGCUCAUAAUGUGGAAAAGAUGAUCUAGAAGAUACGUGUUAAAUUUUUUAAUAUUAUGCCUAGCAAAAAGUUUUGAGCUAUCUUCAAAAUGCAACUUGCAAGAGUGAACUGGUAAUCUUAAUCUAACAAUUUGACCUUGCUUUGGGCCCCAGAGCCACCAGUACUUUACUGGGGCAAGGCAGAUCAACAUCACAAAGGCACAUGUAUUGUUGCCUAGGCAUGCCUCUUUUGCAAGGCGCAAGGCAUGAAAGUGGUGUGCCUUACAAUCCUCCACUUCUGUGGUGUUCUCUUACUAAUAAAAAGCUACCACCGCACCACUAGACUUGCAACUUUUUAUAUGCCAUAACUCAGUGCACCAGAAAGUCAUUGGAAACACUGUUGCCAGUGCUUAGAAGUUGAAUUAUGCUAGAUGUCUAGCUGCAUAAUUGCCUGUUGUGACACUCCUAUUUCCAACAUCUACAUGCUUUGAAUCUCACAAGAAAAAUGAUUACCAUCACAUCUAGUCCUCUCUCUGUAGCUUUCAAGUCUCAGCCCUCCCUCUCUCCCAUUUUUUGUUCUCUGUUUUUACCCUCUUUUAUUUUCCAUGGAUUUUGAAAUUUGAACAACUUCCCUUGUUUUUCUGUUUGGUCACUCUGAUAUAUAUAUAUAUAUAUAUAUAUAUAUAUAUAUAUAUAUAUAUUUUCUUCUACUUGUUUGUUUAAGCAAAUAAAAGUAGUACAAUCAAUUGGAAAAUUUGCACAAAUAUCAUAUCAGUUAUAUAUAUAUAUAUAUAUAUAUAUAUAUAUAUUUCUUCUAUUUAUUUGUUUAAGCAAAUAAAAGUAGUACAAUCAAUUGGAAAAUUUGCACGAAUAUCAUAUCAGUUGUUAAAGCAUAUGGAUCAUUGCAAUGUUUGUUAGAACUUGAUGUCAUUUCCACUUAAGAGAAGAGGAAGAAAAAAGUUCUAGCCUUAAAUUUGUAUACUUUUCAUUUUCUACUUGUAACUUCUCCAUAUGGGCCUGAAAAUAAAGUCUUUCAGCUCUAUUCGUAUGCAUGUAAUGUGUGCAUAUCUCAACAAAUUGACAAGUUUUUUUUAACUGUGAUUGUCGAGGUGCUAAUCAUUUGUGGUAUUUUUUAUCUUUGGCGCACUUUUAUGUCAUUUAUAGUUAGAUUUUAUAUAAUGGUAGCCAUCUUAAUAUGUUGAAUUUGUUCGUCUGAUAUUGAUUUUGAAGCUUUGGCAAAUUUAGAUUUCCUUUUUGCCUAAAUGAAACUUAUUCCUGUGAACCUAGACAUUAGGACCCUUUAUGCCUUAGUGAACCUUGCCCCUUUUAAUACCCAUGGUCCACUAUCUGUCAGUUAUCUGAGAGGUUUAGCUGUAGCAAUGAAACAAGUAUAUAAUGGUUUCUUACAUCUAAAAUACUAGUUUUUUAGUGGCUACAACCUGGAUGUUUGAAGAUUACUAUUUAAUAUAAACCAUGAAUCAAUCCCCAUCAGCUGCUGUGUUACCUGUUUAUGAUCUCUGUAGUAUAUUUCUUACCUGUUCUUGCUUCUACAUUGUGUGCAACAUAAAUGAAAAGAAGCUUAGUGCGUGAAGGGGUCUUUCCCUCUCAUUAUUCUCCUCUCAUCAUUGUCUUCACUGUCCCGCCAAUCCCUAAACAGAAUGGGUGUUGUUGAUUUAUGAUUUGUUGUUCAUUUAUUUGUGAGAAUUUUUGUUUAUUUAUUAAGAAAAACACUGAAUGGGUCAUGGGUGUUAUUGAUUUUAAAUGCUUUAUUGUAUACUUGCUGUUUAUAUUAUUAUAAGUAUGAAUGUUAAUCUGUGUACAUUAUAUUUAUAUGCAUAUAUCUAAAAUAUAUAAAAAAAAAUUUUAGUUUCUGUCGUCUUUUUCAAAAAGACGUCGCCUCGCCUCUCACCUCUCCUAAGGGAUAAGAGACCUUGUCAUCUUAGUGUCGUCUCUUGCCUUGAUAACACUUGCGGCUCAAGUGUAAUAUCUGGGAUCCAUUUGAUCACCUCUACAAAUGCACAUAAGAGUUUUGAGGUUUAAAUAAGGAAUAUAGUGUAUGUAAGAUCCCAAAUAUUAAUGAGAUCUGAAAUUUAUCUAGGACAUAAAAUGCAUAUAUAUAUGGUUUAACUUGGGUAGAUGAGGAUUUGGAAAAAAAAAAUGAAGAUGUAUAUGAAUUUGACAUUACAUUGGUGUUUACUGUUUAGUGAUAUUACAUAUGAAACACAAAUCUAAAUCUCCCUUCAUUCCAAAUGCACACCUAUGUAAAUGAACCCUAAAGUAAAGUCUCUUUGACUGCUUGGCAUAUGUUUCAUCCACAAUAUCGUCUCAAUGACCAUGGUUCAUUUUGGCUUGCUAUAUUUGAUCUGGUGGCUUUUUUCCUGUAUAUUUAUGUUUUUUUUUUCCCCUCAUCUAGGAUCCACGGCCAGAAUAUAAUCUUUUUGGCACCAUUGUGCAUUCAGGAUACUCGCCAGAAUCUGGUCACUACUAUGCAUAUAUAAAGGCCUGAGUUCUCCUGCUCUUUUAAAUUUCUUCAAUUUUUUGUUUUUAAGUUUUAUGUCUGAGAAGAACAACUAUAUCAAUUAUGUGCUGAUAUUGUUUCUAUUAUGGAUGUGCAGGAUGCAAUGGGUCGGUGGUAUUGCUGUAAUGAUUCAUAUGUGACCCUUUCAACACUUCAGGAUGUUUUGUCAGAGAAAGUCUAUAUACUUUUCUUCUCUCGUGCUAACCAAAGGCCAGUUUCUGCCGGUGCCACAUUUAUUGCCAAUGGAGUAAAAUCAAGCAAUCUCAAUGGCAGUGAGGCAUAUAAAAGUCCAAAGAUGUCAGUUGCACCAAAAGCUGUGCCUACAAAACACAGUGUUAAACAAUCUUCACCCAGUGAUAUUCCAUCCAUGUCUAAGGUUCAUAAAGUGCCUUCUAGUCCUCAGAUAAAGUUCAAUAUUUUUGGGAACUCUAGCUCCAGAAGGGUUCCUACAACUGUUGACAGAAAGGCCGACACUUACAAGAGUCAAAACAUGAAAAUGAAUUGGGAUGAAAAGGGGACAGUUCAUACAGAGAAACAUGACAAAGAUGUAUCACCAGUGGUAAAUGGAAAUGGUUGCAACAAAAACAGAACAGUUCAUGCUGAGACCUGCCCAGCAAUUGCAGUUUCAAGUGAAAACAGUGUCACUCAAAAUGGUGCCUUCGACUCAGAAAAGGUGAAUGGAUAUGAAGCUACUUGUUCUAUGGGCAGAACAACAAUGGAAAAGGGGUCAAAUCACCUUGAAUUGCAGAAUGGUGGAGAGAACGGGAAUUCUGGCAACUCAGAGUUGAAGAGGAAAUCAAAGGAGGAUAAAUUCAUUUUAUUUGCACAGGAUUCUCAUUCUCAAGCCAAAGUUGAAGAGUUGAAAGAAGUGUACGUAAAUUUCUAUCUUUUACCUUUGCUAAUCUUCCUUAUCUGAAUUAUGGUAAUAACGAUAUGGUGAAGAACUGUAUCACUAAAUUUGCCAAAUUAUAUAUUUGAUUGUAUUUUUGGUGAUUUAUGUUUACAAAUUUUUGAGUUCUGAUUUUUCCUCAAUUUGGAUCCUAUACUUGAAGUUCAAGUAAAUUACACUAAUGAUCACUGAAUUGUGUAGUUGUUAAAAACAAUCAUUUUUGCUGUGACUAAACGACUAAAGUUUUAAUUCCUCUUAGGUCUAAUUGAACAAAAUUUGCCAAUCAGUUAAUUGGAAAUUUGAUAGGGAGUGUGUGUGUGUAUGUGUGUUGAUUGUUUUCUUAAAUUAAUUUCUGGCUGUUGGAGUUCACAAGAUCAACUCAUAGUGUUUUUCUCUCUCCUUACCAGCUAAAGGUGUAAUAAAAAAACAUUAUUAGUUGGUCUUAUGGAUCCCAAUUGAUUUGGGAUUAGUUUAAGAAAACAAUAGCAAAUAUACAUGUUAGAUUUCCAUUCACUGCUGGUUCGCUAGGAUUUAUUCAAUUAGAUCUAAUCAAAAUGAAUUUAAAGUUCAUUGCCUUGAUUGUAAUAAAUUGUUCUUUUGUAACCACAAUAGAAAUUAGUGAUUAAUUUAGGGGUGACUCUUGCUGCCAUUUAUCACUAAAGUUCACUCCUACUCCAUAAUAUUUUCUAUGAAGUUUGGAUUUUGUCUCCCAUUAUCGGAGCUGCUAUCCAGAAAAAUAUCAUGUCAAAUAUGUUGAUUAGAGGCCAUUAGAAAUUGUCCUUGACAUGUAUUGGUUAUAAAGAACUCCAAAAAUCUAAAUAAAGGUUCUGUAUUUUUUUUCCAUCUUCCAAAAAGGUGCUUUUGAGAAAGCAUGUUCAAUCCCAAUGCCAUGUAGAAGUCCUUAAAAUGUUUGAUAUUGAAUCAUGCCAGACUUCCAAGUUAUCAUUUUAAAGGCCAUAUAUGUUGCAAUAUCUGUUUAGUAAAUUUAUUGAUGGGCAGUUUUAUGUAUUAUUUGUGGGGGAAUGGAAACAUUCAAAUUUUUAGAUCAUGUGGAUGUUAAUGUCUGCAUGUUAAGCAUUUGAUCAGUCUUGUCCAUCUGUGUUUUUUUGUUCAUUUAUGUUCAUACUAAAUGUCCCAGGCUCAAGCAAGAAGCUUCUUCGGGUUUGCGAUCCUGUGGUUGGUCUAAUAAGGUAUACAGUUUUAUGUGCUCAAGGAAGAGGUUAUGUGAACGAGAAGAAAGGAACACCUCAGGUGAUAUUGAAUUAAAGUAAGUGUUGUUUAAUUAACUUUUCUAAAGAUAAAUUCCUUGUAAAAUAUUGUCUACUGGCAUUGACCAUUUUUCUCUCAUGCAUUUUAUCUAGCAUGAUGAUAACCUGUUUAUUGUAUCUUACAAUCAUCAAUAGAAGUCUUCUGAUACAUACCUUGGCUUGCAGGAAGCUGUUGAUUGCAGAGGCCAAAUCAACCUUUAUUUCACAGAUACCCGAAUCAUUGAAAGAAGAUCUAGUCAAACAUCUUCGGUCAUUAAGCCAAGAGAAGUGACAUUCUGAGUUAAUGAUAAUUAAGGAGGUACUUUUAUUACUUUGCUUAAUUUCAGAACUUUGCGGGUUGGUUCCAUAACACGGGUUAUGAAUUUUUUUGCAGUCUCUCGAUGGUUGUUGGUGACUCCAUGUACAAACUGUAUGACUAAUUGAUGAAACAUCAUUUUUGCGGAAGACAAUAACUGGGGUGUUUCCUAAUUUGUCUAUUUGAGUAAAUGUUCCCAGUUGCAGCAAGAGGUUAUUAAACAGCCUUCUAUUUUUUUUAAUUUUUUUUUCUUUUCCCUUUCUAUUGUUAUAUUGUUGUACUGGUAGGUUCCCAAUGGGUGGUGUUUAGAUGAAAGGGCCGAGUUCAAAUCCUGCCAACAUAUUUCUUCCUUAAGGCUUGAAAUUUGGUUUUGGUGAACUGAAGAAUCUCAUAGAUUUUGUACUAUAUCCUUUUUGGUAGCAUCUUUUAAUGUACCAUCCUGAGUUAAUGGGAUGAGCACAACAAUUUUCCAUCGAAAAGUGUCCAGAUAGUCCUGGCGUGAAUAUAUAUCACCAUUGAGUUAACCCCCCCGAAUGUGACCCUCGCUGAAGCAGGUGAUUUGUGCUCUUCUGGUUAAUUAUACAUAUUGUUUAUUUCCGUUAAAUUUGUGGUGCAGUGGUGUUUUUCUUUACCAAUCUGUUGUUGUUGGCUAGUUUUAUAAAUUGGCUCAUUCACAUGGCGGAAUAAAUCAUGAGUUUUAAAUGAUAAUAACCAUAUAGAUGAAGACUCUUUUGCAAAGUAAUAAUGAACGUAAAAUUGGUUUUCGUAAGAUAUUGAUAUGUUUUUUUUUUUCCUUUUUUGGAAGAAAGCUUGAUGUACUUUGUGGAUAGAAAUUCCAAAUAAUUCUUCCCCCUUUUUUAAAGCAGCAGUUUGCUCUAGUAAGGGAAUGAGUAAGUUUAUAGAGUAGAAGCCUAAGCGAACAAAACCUGCAAAACAUAUUAAACCUGUUAUAAUUUAAACUCAUGGAUCGAACCAUUCAAAUUAAAUUAAAGCUUUUCAAUGCUACUAGAUAACAGGUGAAACACUGAAGAGUUAUAAUUGUGCUUUACCCUGAUCAUCCUCUUCGAUGCAGCCAAGAUAGGCUAAAGAAGGCUAGAAACUACAAAGACUCCAGAAGUGAAGAAGUCCAGGCUUCAUCAGUUUUUAUGAGGCAACCGUGUGGAGGUUGAAUAUUCUUAAAAUGCUAUCCUUUCAACAUGCAAUGAGGCCUCUCUUCAAGUCCACAAUUCGUUUGUCAAUUAAAAAAUAGUAAUAAUAAUAAUAUUGUUAAGGACAUGUUUUAAAUUAUGAUAACUUACUAUUAGAUUAUUGCACUUUAGAAAAUUAACCAUUUAAUUUUUAUUAUUUAAAAUGUAUUUAUAUUUUAUAAACAUUAAUUAUUUUAAUCAUUUUUAAAUAAAAAUUUUUAAUCAAAUUACUUCAAUAUUGGUCGUAAGGCUAAAAUAGUAUGAAUAGUUAAAUAUAAAAAUUAAAAUAAGUUCAUAGAAUUGAAUUUUUAAAAUAUUGAAAAUAUUUUAAUUAUAUUUAGAAAAAAUAAAUAAAUGUAGUUAAUUCAUUUCAAAAUCUUAGAGUGUAUAGUUAUUUACCCUUUUAAGCUAAUUCCAUAAAUUUCUCAUGCUCGCUUUCUCUCCUGAUUCUCCUUCACACAAUUUUUAGUUCUCAGAGCUCGAAUGCUUCCUAUUUGCCGUUACACUGAAAAUUAGGUCGAACAAUGAGGACUUCUCUUUGUAGAGCGCUUGCUCAAUCCACAAGGAGGACUAGAAGUCGUUCCCUCCAAUUCCUGUUGCGGUCGUCUUACUCCAUUUCUACUUCUUCCUCCAAUUCUUUUGCUACUGAUGCUAAGCAAUCUACAAUUUCCCACCGGAAAUCUCCUCCCUUGCCCUCAUUCUCUGAUUGCCCUAGACCUAGGGAGAUUCCAUUUCAGGCUAAGGUUGCCAAUUCCGUCAACUUGGUUGGAUAUAUUGGUCAGCCCAUUCAAUUCCAGAUUUCACCUGAUAGCAAGAAUUGGGCUGCCACCGUCAUAACCCAGAAACCUUCUUCUGAUUCUCCUCCUUUGUGGUACUUUGAUACUUUCUCUACAUUAUUAUUUACUUCCUGUUCUAUUUUCUUUGCUCCUUUUUUUUGUCUCUAUCUUUUAUCUUUGCUGGUUGUGUACAAUUUCUUUUUUUAUCUAUGUGGCGUUUGCUUUUUGCAUUAGUCUACAUACCAUGGAUGCAUAUGAUAAUUGAUAGAUUUAAUGUCCUUUAUAUGAGUUGUUCUUGUAUAAGGUUAUAAAACUUCUGUAAGAAUUUAUUUUGUUCAUUGGUAUUGUUUAGCACUCACUUGGUACUUCUUGGCUUAAUUUAGCACUUCUAUUAUAUAUGUUAAUUCUUAAAUUGAUUGAUGCCGGAACUUUUCAACAUGCACUUUUAUUGAAUUAGAAGUUUUUAGUACUAAGAAAUGAUGGUUUGAAUUUCUUUUUCGUGGUAUCUGCAGUGGGCAGGUUUUAGCUUUGCUGCUUCACAAUAUUUGACUACGAGAGGUGUUAGAGUGAUUGCAACCUAGAUUAUUUCCGUUAGUUGAAUUCCUUCUCAUCCAUGAAUAAAUUAAUAAUAAAAACAAUCGUGAGUUCUUAUAAUUUUUAAAAUUUGUUGCUCGUUUGGGGCACUUAAGUUUUGAGAGACUUUCUUGUUUCUACUAGAAAUAUAUUUUAAGUUGAUACUAGAUCUUUUUUUUGGGUCUGUGUUAAAAUUUUCCCUUUUUAUUGUAAUUGUACAAGUAAACUUUAACGAAAAUAAUUCCUAACAAUUUUUCCCCUUAAAAACCUUGACUUUUAUUUAAAAAAAAAAAAAAAACAAUUCUUUUAGUUUUCAUGAAAUAUUAUAUUUAUAGUGGUAGAGUGGGGAAUUUGAGUAUUGCUUUUUGGCCUAUAAAUUUUAAUUAAUUUACUUUCUUUUACCGAGUGCCAUUGUUAUUACAUUAAUAUUCACUUUUUGAUAUCAGGAUACCAAUAAUAUUUGAAGGUAAUUUGGCUCAUGUUGCUGCUACCCACUUGAAAAAAGAUAAUUAUGUCUACAUAGCUGGACAACUGAUUGGACAUCCCCCUCCUAUAGAUGUAAUAGGACGUCAAGCCCAAAUGUGGGUAAGUUCAAUUUAUAUGGAACUGAAAACAUACUUGAUGCGUUUUUGUGUGUACAUGUGCCCUUAUUUACAGUAAUAUAUAUUGAUAACUAAAUGAAGGAGGAUGUGUUAUUGCAUACUCUCUUUCUUCUUUUUCUUGUUUCUGAGUGGGUAUGUUUUGCCACAUUCUUGUGCAAUUUUAUUUAAUUAAAUUAAAGGGUAAGUCAUGAGAAAUUAUUUCACGCAAUCAUUAUAUGUACAACAGAUGAAUAUUGCUUAUGAUGAAAUCUACAUGGAAUCCACCAUAACUAAUAUAUGGAUAAAUUAUAUUUUAGUCUUUAAAUUAUACCAUAAUUAACCGAAACCGAUCAAUUUCUGUAUUUUUAAAAUUGAACACUUAAACCACUCUAUUUUCAUUCUAUCCAAAUACACGGUUCUUUCAUUCAUUUCUCCAUUAGCUCAAAGGUAAAUGGCUGGUCAAAUCCUUAAAAAAAAAGUUUUUCUUUCCAUAAUAUCCUUAUUGCACCAUACAAUACAUAUAAAAGAAAUUUUUACAUCUAAAAGUCCAAAUCCUCCUUCCUUUCUCAUUCUCUCUUUCGAAGAUAAAUGGCAAGUUGAUAGAUGUAUAUUAGGUAAUUUGAAAACUUUAUUGUUAAUUUGUAUAUUUAGCUGUAUGAAAUGUUUGAAUAAAUAAAAGUGUUUGUUUUGUAAUAUUUGCUUUGGCUGCGAAAGAUAGGAGGAAUUGAAAAUGGUGAAAACUUUGAGAAAACUGCAGAUUUUGAAUUCAGGGACUGAUUUGUUUUAAUACAUAAAAAUUGAAGGAUUUAAGUAUUUAUAAUUACUUGAAUUCUAUAUCCAGAAAAUUUUAAAUUAUUUUGUAUUUGUGUAUAAAAAGAAGAUACAAGAAAAUUGAAAAUGAUGUAAGGUUUGAGAAAACUGUAGAUUUUGAAUUCAGGGACUGACUUGUUUUAAUGCAUAAAACUUGAAAGAUUUAAGUGUUUAUAAUUACUUGAAUUUUAUAUCCAGAAAAUUUGAGAAAUGGUAGCAAGCCGGAUAAUUCUAAAUUGUUUUGUGUUUGUGUAUAAAAAAAAAAAAAAGAGUUAAUGUUAUAUAUUUAGUUUGAUUUGAUACCAAGGAAAUUAAAAAUGUUGAAAACUUUGAUAAAACCAUAGAUUUUGAAUCCAUGGACUAAUCUAUUUUAAUAAAUAAAAAUUGAAGGACUUAGAUGUAAAGCUUCAAACUUUAAAUUAAGGAUUGAUCUGUUUUAAUACAUAAAAACUGCAGAAUGAGAAAGGAAGAAGAAUUGGAUUUUUAGAUGUAAAAGUUUAUUUAAUGUGUCGUAUGGUGCAAUAAGAGUAUUGUGGGAAGAAAAAUAAUUUUCAGAGGUUUGAUUAGCUAUUUACCUUUGAAUUAAUGGAAAAAUGAAUAGAGAGACCAUGCAUUUAGACGAAAUGAAAAUAGAGGGAUUUAAGUGUUCGAUUUUAAAAAUAUAGGAAUUGAUCUGUUGAUUAUGAUAUAACUCAAAGAUUAAAGUGUGAUUUAUCCUUAAUAUCACACGUCAUAGUUGUAUUCUAAAAUCCGUCACAACUCGUAAGCCACUCAGAGAGCAAAGGAGACACCACUUUUUGUAGGACGUAAGUUGCUUUUCAUACUAACAAUAGAAGGGAAUGGAUUUUUUUAGGUAUUUUUAUUAUUCUACUUUUAUUUUUGUUUAUAUGAUUAUGCAAUGAUAGCAAAUGGAGGAAUUGGGAAGUGACAAUUUUUUAAUAUGAUUUUGAUAAUAAAGAGAAUCCUUGGGGAGUGGAGGAGCAUUCUUAUUCCUAUAUUUAAGAAAAAUGAAAAUAUAAAUAUGCAAAAUUACAAAAAUCAUAGAUAUCAAUCUUAUCAUUAUACAAUAAAUCUUUGUGUAGAAUAAUAAUAUUUGUUAUUAUAUUUCACAAUAGAGAUUACAACCUAUUUAUACAUGAGAGACGGUAUCUAAACAGAAAGAAAAAUCAAGUCUAUGAUUAUACAAUCUUAAGAUUAAGCAACUGACUCAUCUAUAAAUAUUUACUUCCUAUAUUAACAUAUUUACUUCCUAUAACCUAUAACACUCUCCCCUCAAGUUGGAGCAUAAAUGUUAAUUAUGUCCAACUUGUUACAUAUAUAAUCAAUUUUAGCCAUAAGAACAACCACCUCAAAACAAUCAAAAUAAAUAAAGGAUCAGAAGAACAUAACCCGUGAACAGUAACCAUGAACAAUACCCGAUGAACAGUGUCCAAUGUCUCCAAAUGUUACCUUUUAUAGGUAAUCCAAAUGAACAAAACCUUAAGUUUUCAAAUGUUACCUUUAUGGGUAAUACAAAUAAACAAAACCCUAAGUCUUCAAAUGUUACCCUUUAUGGGUAACCCAAAAUGAAUAGAGCUCUAUGUCUCCAAACGUUACCCUUUGUGGAUAACCCAAAUGAACAAAAUUCUAAAUUUUCAAAUGUUACCCUUUAUACAGAGCCCUUUAUACAGAGUCCUAAGUCUCCAAAUGUUACCCUUUAUGGGUAACCCCGAUGAACAGAGUCCUAAAUCUCCAAAUGUUAUCAUUUAUGGAUAACCCCGAUAAACAGAGUCCUGAAUCUCCAAAUGUUAUCUUUUAUGGGUAACCUAAAUAAAUAGAACCCUAAAUCUCCAAAUGUUACCCUUUAUGAGUAACCCGAUAAACAGAGCCCUAAGUCUCUAAAAAAUUUAAAUCUCUAUGGUGAGGCUCUGAUACCAUAUAGAAAUAAUAAUAUUUGUUGAAGUAUUUCACCAUAGAGAUUACAACCUAUUUAUACAUGAGAGACGGUAUCUAAACAGAAAGGAAAAUCAAGUCUAUGAUUAUACAAUCCUAAGAUUAAGCAACUGAUCCAUAGAGGAGCAUUCUUAUUCCUAUAUUUAAGAAAAAUGAAAAUAUGCAAAAUUACUCAAAUCAUAGAGAUAUCAAUCUUAUCAUCAUACAAUAAACCUUUGUAAAGAGUAACAGAA